RNAcentral lists this long non-coding RNA (61656 nucleotides) under Olea europaea (common olive). RNAcentral's name for it is "long non-coding RNA (OEUR_LNC001487)". The record is from RNAcentral. Lineage: Eukaryota; Viridiplantae; Streptophyta; Magnoliopsida; Lamiales; Oleaceae.
GAGAGAGAGAGAGAGAGAGAGAGAGAGUACCCUCUUGAUGUAGAAACAUGGAGUUAAGGAACGCAAAACCUUGAGAUGCUCGUUCAUUUGUCUUCUCCUGUUCCUCUCCACAGCUAUGUGAGACAUGGUUCUGGAUGUAAGAGAGAAAAAGCUUGUAAGUUUGUUCCUUUGUUCUCUGUCUCUUGCACGCUAACACUCAAUCUGUUUCUCUCUCUAUAUAUAGAACAGCGCACCACAGUAUAUCUAGAUAUAGGGGGGCCAUAUCUAUAUUCGUCGACUAGGGUUUUCAUUUAAUGCUGCGUGUUACACUCUCGUGAGGUUAAUUAGUUUUACACUUGUACCUUUCUCUCUCUCUCAAUAUCUGUUUCUUUCUCUCUCUACAUAUAUCUAUUUUGUGUGUAUAUAUUUCGUCUCACGUUUAUGAUCUUGGAGCAAUUACAUUCCCCGCGUACAGAUAAAAGAAAAAGGGUAAGUCUCAUGCACAAUACCUGCUUCUUUUGCCUCUCUUCAUGCAUGCCACGCUCGAUUCUUCAUCACUCCAACUGAAUCUGUAUACCCACAUUCUAAUAACCCGACUUGAGAUUCCGAUUAAUCUUGUUAUAAUGAGUAGCUCAAGUUCAUGGAAUUCGACUUAUGUAAUUAUUUGUUUGAGUUUGUGGACACUUAAUGAUAUAAAUUCGCCCUCAAAAGUAUAGAAAUUAAUAAACCCUUCAUAUUUUGUUUUCGAUAAAAAUGAUGAUAUUUGUAGUCGCUCUACGUGAAAUACAUGUGACGGUUAGUGAUUUGAUAUAUUAAUGUGGUUGUUGUUUAUUGUCUUAUAUUUCAAAUCACUAAUAGAUACGUAUAUAUCACGUAAAGCAACUACGGUAGUGAAUGACUGUAAAUAGGAUUAUUCUUCUACUAAUACGUAUAAUAGAAAUUAUUCCAUUGUUAUUCAUUUUGUUUCUAGUUAAGCUCCUGUUUAUCCACCAUUAUUUAAUUAAAAGGAGUUUUGGAAUAGUGAAUUUUCAAAAAAUGUAUUGUUUUUUUUUAGAUUUAUAUGAAAAAUAUUUUAUUAUUAGAAUGUGUACUUGAAAAUAAAUUUGAGAAAAAAAGAGUUUUGAAAUUGUUGUGUUGUGUGCUUUUAUAGUAUAUUUUGCUAUGAUAAAAACAAUAAUUUAUAAUAAAUAGAUUAUGAUUUUAUUUAUUUAUUAUUGAAUAUACGAAUUAAAGUGCAAAUGAUCACUUGUGAUAUUAUAAGUUAAGUACUUACGUCGAGAAGUAUAGUGUGACACAACUUAUAUUUUGAUUAUAAAUAAUUUAUUUACAACCAAUGUAUAAGAGUUGACACAUUGUACCGGAAGAUUGUAGUGUUGAUUGAUUCACUAUUCAAAUAUGUAAUUUGUUCUUAUUACAAAAAUAAUUAAAGGUGACACUAGUACACUUGAAGGGUACUGAAUGGACCACAUGUUCAGUUCUAUAGCAUGACCGUGAAAUGAAUUAAAUUUCGCUUGAUUGCUUUAUAUAUUGUCUAAAUCCUAUGUGUGUGUAUAUAUAUAUCCGUGAUCUUAAUGGUUAUUUGAUUCACCAAUGGAUGAGAUCAACUUGAUUAAUUAAAUAUCUUAAUGAGUUGAAAACUUGAGAAUGAUUAAAGUAGAGAACAUGAAUUUGUGUCGAGAAUCGUCAUCCUGAAAAAUGGGUAGAGUGGCUAUUUAAGUAUUUUUUGUUGGAUUAUUAGAACUGAGUAUUUAGUGACGACUAAACUUUGGCAUCUGUGAUUAAUUCACAAGACCAUUGAAGAAAAUGAUAUUCAAGUUAGUGAGAAUAAUUAGAAAGAAAAAAUAGUCAUUUAUACUCGUACCUAAUUAUCAGAUCUCGAACAGGGAUAAAAUACAUAUAUGACAGACCAGAGAAAAAUAUUACAAAUUUAUGGACUUCUAUAAACUUAUACAUUCCAAAAGUUCAGUCUUUUGCCUUUAGUGAAAAAAAAAAAAAAAAAAAAGAAGAAGCAAAGAUUAAUAAUUAGAUUGAGUGGUAUAAGAUCAACUAUAUAUGAUCUAAUUAUUGGAGCUUAAAUAAUAUAUGUCCAAUCAUACCCCUGUGAUAACUUUUUAAAGUAUUGAAACUUAAUUACGAUAAUUAUAAUAGUUUUGGACUUAAUAGUAAUUGCAAUAAAAUUUUGUACUUAGUUGUAAUUAUUAUGAAAGUUGUAAACUUAGGGUCCAUUUGAUUGUAAGAAUGAAAUUUAUGUGAAAGAAAAAGAAUUUCAAGAAAUUGAAUUGCCUAAAACUUGUUUUACUGGAAAUUGUCAGUAAAUGUAUUUGAUUGGUAUAAUUUUUCAUAUAAAAAAUGUUGAAAUUUUGAAUAUUUUGGUAUUUGUUUGGCUUUGAUUUUCAUAAAAAUUGUCAAUUGAAAAGAUAUAGUUUGUUACAAUUGUGGAUAAAAUUUAUUUCUAUUGUCCAAAAAAAUAAAAAUAAAAAAAGCUGGGAAAACCAUUUCCCACCAAAUCCAUGGAAAUUGAUUUUUCACAAAAUGAAGGAAAAAGGUUUACGUGGGAAGGGGAAGGAAAAUGAAUUGCCAAGAAAAUUAUUGCUAUCAAAUAGGCCAAAAGGUGGAAAAUGGAAAAUAUUUUACAUUUUCCAUGAAAAAUUCUUCAUAUCAAAUAGGCCCUUAAUUAUAAUUGUAAUUGAAGUUCUAAGUCUACAUUUGUAAUUAAAUAUAAACUAAUUGGAUUUGGACUUUAAUUAACACUUUGAAUUUUAAUUAAAACUCUUAUUUGAAUGCAGAAUUAUUAUUGUAAAAGAAUUGAAACUAUUUUAGUUUUAUAAAUAAAUAUUAGAUGGAACCAAGAUAUCCUAUGGGAAUGUACAACAAUCAUGAUGCAUAAUUUCAUAGUGUUCAAAUUUGGAGAGAGAAAAAUAGAGAAAAUAAUUAUUUUCUCAUUUUAUUCAAUUGUCCAGUUCAAAAAUUAAUUUCUCAAUUUAAUUAAAAAAUGUGUUCACUCAUAAGUCUAGUCUUGAUUUUGGAGAAUACCAUAGAAAACUAGGGCAGUAAGCAAAAAUCACAAAACUGGAAAAUCGAACUGAAAUCGCAUUUUAGAAACCGUCAGUUUGAUACCACGUGGACCCGGUCAACGAAAUGAUUUUGAUCCAAACCAAACCGGUCAAAAUGGUUUGGUUUAGGUUUGAGAAUUUUAAUUGCGGUUUAAAACCAAAUCGGACCGGCGAAAAAAUCUAUAAAAAUAAAAAAAUGAAAAAAAUGAAAUUUUUUGAAAAUUCAUCCAAAUAUGUAAAAUUCAAUAGUUUUGUCAUUUGUGAGUAUUUUUGUCAAUUCCUAAUUUUCUAAUACAGAUAUAUUAUUAUUAUUAUUAUUAUUAUACAAUAAUCAUAAUAUAUAUUUAAUAAUUUCAAGACUAAUAUAAUCUAUCAAAAACAUUUUUCCUCUUUAAAAUUUAGAUGAACUCCAGUCGAUACCCAACACAGUUUUGAGCCACCGGCACACACUUCUUUUUCAGAUUUUUCACGCCUCUUCAAAGUUGAAUUGAAAUCCGUUAUACCAAAUCAGAGACAAAGAGAUCCUAGACCUUCGGUGAUAAUACUUGCCACAAAUAAAGUUUCAGAUCAAUAAUUUUUUUGAGCAAACUAAGGUAAGAAUCUGAAAUUAAACGUGUUUCGUAACAUCAUAUAAACGUAAAUUUGUGUAAUUGUUAUGUUAAGAUAUUAUAAACAAUUGCUUUAUUAUUGUGGUUGGUUAUUCUCUUUGUUUAAUCAGUAUCCUUUUUUUUAGAUAUGAUGAUUACGAGGUCUUGUUGGAUAUCACUAUGUUUUUUGGACCUUAUAUCUAGUUUAGUAGACUUGUAUUGUAACGUUAUUGUAUUGUCAUUAGCCUAAAAAAGGUGAACAAAAAUGAAAAAAAAACUAUGUUUUAGUUUAUUUUGACUUCACUUUGAUUUAGUUGAUAUUUAAAUUUAUAGCAGAUAUAUUUAGCCCCUGUUUGAGCCAUAGUUUUCAUAUCAUCAUAAUGAGAAAAUUAAUUAUUGGAGAGGAGGCUGAGUCGCACACAUGAAAUAGCAGGUCAACGAAGGUGGCUGGUCUUGUGGAAUAAUGGUCCAAAUUUUCAUUUUUUUUGUCCCAAAAAUUUGGUUCAAAUAGGGGCUUAGUUUGUUUUAGAUUUAUUACUAGUGAGAUAUAAAUAUAUAUUAAAUUCAAUGAACUAAUGGCAUAAAAGUAGACUAGCAAAAAAUAUAUGGCGAAAUCGGCGGUUUAAAACCGGACCAAAUCGUUUGGUUUAGGUUUGAGUUUUUUUCAAACCGUUCAAAAUGGUUUGGUUUAGGUUUCGGUUUUUCUCAAACCGUUUUAAACGGUUUGGUUUGAAAAUUUGUCAAAAAUCGGUAAAAUCGGACCGCUUACACCCCUAUAGAAAACUUAAAGGUUUAAAGCAUCAAGUUCUUAGAAUUAAAAAGAUGGAAGUUCAUGAUUCAAAAUUAAUUAAAAAAUUGAUCUUCGAAUUUAGGUAAAAAUUUGAAUCAUUUAUUCUUGAUAUAACAUACACGGGAACAUCUAAACAAUCUUGUUUAUAGAAUUAAAGAAAACUUUCAAUUUUUGGAUAAUUUCGCAUAUGCAUUCCAACAAAAAUAAUGGUAACCAUAGAGGAGCUAGAUAUAUUGUUUCUCUCAUAGUUUCCUAAUAUUGAACAGAGGUUGUAAUUAUGUAAAACCUUGUGAGAAUAAACUUUCUAACACUGUUAUCAUGUUUACAUAACAUUUCGUUUUGUUAUAUGUUGAAAUUGUUAAUUAAAAUAUAUUUAUACAUGGCUUUAGUGUUUAAUCUCUAUAAACAUCGCAUGUUUGAUAAGAUCAUCUAUGAAAUAAUAGAUGGUAAUUAAGUAAAGAAACCUAAAAUCUUGUCUAAUGUAAUAUUCAAUCGCAUUCAGCAUUGAAUACCAAAUUAAAUACAAGUAACAGGGUACGAACAGUUCAGUGAAUGUACAUACAAAGUCGAGGAAUAAACUGUUGGGAUCAAUUUAUCAACUCAUCAGGCAAUACAACUCAAUCCCACAAGUUCUCACGUUUGUGUUAGGAACGAGACGAGGUUAUACGGUAUGAUAUGAAAUAUUGAUCACAAACAACAAGAACACAAAGACAAAAAUUUAAUUUGGAGGAGAAAUUAGAGAUUUUAUUCAACAACUAUAAUGGAAAGAAAAAAACUGUAAUUAUGUUCUUACACGAUGAUUCUAACAUUUAAGUAUUACAAAACUUGUAAAGAAAGGUCUAAUAUUUAUAGGGGUGUACACCAAACCUUAGAAAUAACCCUAAAGAUGGAAGCUAGAUCAAGAAAUCGUGUGAAGGGGAGAAAUAUGGAAAAAUUCAGACUGCCAGCGCUCAAGCGCUAGUCUCUCGCUAGGCAAGCGAUGGAAACGAAAGGCACACUGCUCCAAAUCUCGACCUACCGUUCAAGCGGUAGACGAGCGUUAUUCCAACACCGUCGAAACCUAUUUUUCCUCUUGGGGCCAAUUUUGAUGUCUCCAAACCCAAUAUUCCAAAUCACGAGUACCCUAAUCGGAUUUGGGGUCACAAAACUCAAUAGUUAGAACCCCCAAAAGUUACCAUAAACAAAUUGCAUGGUCAGAGACAAAGUUGAAGAUAGUGCUCGAAGAGUGCUCAAAGUUCAGUAAGGAUACUGCACAUGAUCACUAACAAAAGUAACAAAUUGCAUGUUUGGUGUUAUUAAUAAACAGUUAACAUCAUGGACUAAAUAAUUUUUCACUGUAUCUGUUUGAUAGAUUUUCUAUAGAAUCAAUUUUGUUUGCCAUUUUUGGGGUACAAUCUUGUCUCAUUUACAAUAAAACUAGUGAAUUGCUGAAGUUCUAUACCCCAGCAGCCUUUCCCAUCUUCGAUCCUGCAUUAAAGAAUAUAUUUAGUGGAAAAGGGAAACUGAAAUAAAACUGCAUUUGACAAGGAAAUUUAAGGUAAUAAACACUGAAGUAUUUCCCUGCAAGAACAUGUUGACAUAGGGAGUGAGGCAAAACAAAAUGUUUGCAGCGUAUAUUGUCACCGUCUAGCAAAUACCCAAGCAGAAUUGAUAAUAUGACAUAUGUCUUGAGCUUUUUCCCAAACCACAAAUUAGCUACCGUGAGGUACUAACUAAUAAUUUUGUGGACCGAUACCACCUUUUGAUAACAUUUCUCAGAAAUUUAGCACAACCAUAACAAACCAGUCCAUUACAUGAUUGAUAAAAAUGGAAUGAUCACGCUUUCUAGCCCCCAUUUUUUGAAAUGAAAACGGGUGGAAUAAUAUUUUUUUGAAAAAUAAAUGGUUGAAAAAUAAGAAAAUGUUUUCGGUUUUCUUCAAUUGAUAUGUCAUUCCCUUCGGUCGCCCAAAUAGAAUUGGAUAACUUGUAUCCACGAGGAUCUGUUAUGUCCCUAAUGCAUCACAGGCCCGAGUCCUUCACUCUUGGAAUGGACGGGCCAGACCUUCAAAGAGGCAUUGGGAGUGCUAGGUCCCGUGCCCCUAAGGUAACUAGAGUGUCAACCCUUAUCCAAUGAGAGUCGUGGGUUUUCUAUACAUUGCCAUCAUAAAACACGUCAUCUUCACAACAGGGUAUGAGUAUAGUAACACCGGACAAUGGACCCACUUAUUUGCACAGCAAACUACAACAAAAAAGUGCACACAUCAAAAAUAAAAUAAAAUAAAAUAAAAUGAAAUGAAAAAGAACACAAUAAAUAAUUUUUCUUUUUAACUCUUAGCCCACGUCAAUAUUUAUUUGUAUUAGAAGUUUUCUUGAGAUGAUUCAAUCUCUAAGCCAGUUCUUAUAGAUAGUAUUGCAUGAAUAGUAGUAGAAUGCAUGUCUCCCAGAAACCUCUACGACAACAUAUAACAAAGUAUGUAGUACAGGUAGCAAUCCACAAAAAAAUGGGAAGAAUAUAUUGAGGCGUCUUAAUUAUGUUUACCAAUAUCACCAACAUGGACAUAGAUGACAAAUUUGAUCCUCAUAUUAAACCACCAAUGAUGCUCCCGAAACAAUUUUUGCAUCUACAUUUAUUCAAAUAUUUUUCUUCAAUCUAGUUUUAUUUGCAAUUCUAUAUUCAGGUACUCAUCACAUAUAUUUUUUGCUCCUCAAAAACAUGCCUUGUUUAAAAGUUUUGCUAAAAUUUCUCAAGCGAACAAACUAUCUUGUUUAAUAACAAUUCUAUGAUAAGCCAACUCUAUAAGUUAAACAAGCAAGUACCUUGAAGAGAUCUCUCCAAGUUUUCCAGUUGUGAAAUAAAGCCAGAGUUGGAGAUACAACUGGUCUUUUUCUCUUCACGUGUUCCAGAGCUUCGGAUAAGCUAAUGCCAAUCUUCAUCAUCAGAUAAGCAACAACAAUGGUCACACUGCAAAGUACAACAACUAAAUCAAAUUCAAAACAAAAACUCAAACAAACAUGGAAUACAUUUUCAAAGUAAAAGUUUGAUGUUAAAAUAUUUUCAGGAAUAACAUGGACAUAUCAAACCCAAGGCAAAGGCAAUUAAUUAAGUCAUCCGAAAUUCUGUUUCUGAAUAGAAUAAUAAUUUAAUAGCAGCUAAGAUUCCCCUUUCAGAACUCACAUUCAUUGUUUCCUUUUGCAACUAACCCACUUAACAGCCUCACAUAUCAAUCAUGUAGCAUCAGUAGGCUCGAUUUUGGGGAAAGGAUGUGCCCAAUAGAGGGGGCUGUCAACUCUAGCCAGCAAGAUUUUAAGACAAGUAGGCUCACAUUCAGCCUUUACAUUUGCAACUAUAAUUGCAGCUUUACGUUUCUAUCACGCAGCAUCAGUAGGCUCAAUUUUGUUGAAAGGAUGUGUCAAUGAGAGAGGGCUAUUAGCUCAAGACAGCAAGCUUUUUAAGGCCAGCAAUGAACUGUAAUAAGAGAAACAGUUGGAAUAAAGGUUAAAAUUUUAGCGGAGGAAUUUAACUAGAAAUUUGGUGAUAAAAAAGAAAGGUUUCAGGACUGUUUGCAGAGGUUGCAAUGAUGGAAUGAUGUUAGGAUUAAGAAGUAAAAGUGAAAUAGAACCUACUCUCAAAAUAAGAAAACACCAUAAAAAUGUAGUUGUUCACUCUAUACUAAGUCCAGCUCCUACUUCAAACAUAUAUAGGCAGACUAGACAUGGUGGUCAAAAUAAAGUUGCAGGCUAAGAAAGACUGGAGCAACUACACGACCUAUUGGAUGACACUGUACAUUUAUUAACCAUCACAAUCCAAUAUUGGAUUUUUCACAUUACAUAAACAAAAUAUCUACAAUGAGUUUUGCGUGUUACUUGAUUACUUUUGAAGUGACAUUAUAAUAUACUCACAUCGGGCAUGGAAUUUAUACUACAGAUGUCACAAACAAUCUCCAUUAAAGGACUAUAUUCAGGAUUUUCUAGUGGAUCUACGGAUAUUAUACUACAGACGUCACAAACAAUCUCCAUUAUAUUCAGGAUUUUCUAGUGAAUCUAAGGAUAUUGCAAUGGUCCACGUACUGCCAACUCAUCAUUGAAUAGUGCUGGAACAUAAGUACAUGAUCCAACCAAGGUUCCAACAACAUCUUGAAUGUUUGCCAAAUUUGAAAAAGAAAAGAGUCCACAUGUUUUAGGAGGACUCUUAGCGUUGGUUUGGGAGACAAACUUUCAAGUGAAAAAUGAAACUUUUUUUUCAAGCAUUUGGGUUGAAAAGUGGGGAAAAAUGCGAGUCCCAAUAAAAUGUAUGGUUGAAAAUGGUUCUUAAAAAAUCUCUCCAAAACAAACCCUUAGUUCAUUUCUAAAUUGACGAAGAAAAGAACAAAAAUAGCUGCAUUGCACAGUGGUUAUGUUUUAGGAAAAAUGCUCUAUUUUGCCUUGUCAAAUACCUCCUCCAGAAUUAUACUUGCUAAAAGGAUUCAGAUCGGCCAAUACAGAGCAAGGACGGUGGUAUACGGAACAGUUGAUCACAUAUUUAAGCCAUUGGAGAACAUUCCUAUGUGUAUUUGUCCACGACAAAACAGGUCAAAACUCAACAUUACUCAAAUUGCACAGUACUAAGCAAUCUCUAGAACAUCAAUAAACAAGCUUUACACGUCACUCUUUAAAUUAAUGCAAUUAAGUUAAAGCUUGUAACUGAACAUUUUCAAAUUUUACUUAUACUGAGCAGUUGUAUAUAACAUCAUUAAUGUAACUCACCUAAUAUUUAAACUUUUCUAAUUUUCUCUUCCCCUGAUAACUAAAGUUGGAACAAAGAUUAAUUGUGGAAGAUGAUACCACUACAUGAAUUUUUAUUUCAAUCUAGGGAUACGAAGAAUCUAUUAAUAUCCACGAAAAUGGCAAACAUUACCUAUUACUUAAAAUUACAACACAGCGGAAGCGGUCAAAAUAAAUAGAAUAAAAGCAAACCUUCGGGAUCUUCCAGCAAAGCAAUGAACCAAAACACCACCACCCGUCUUUUUAUCUUCUUCAAUAAAAUUGAAACACUCACUAAAGUACUGUGAUAUAUCCACAUCUUCUCUAUCCAUUACUGCUCAAAUUCAGAAGGAACAUCAUAAAUGAGACAUUAACUAAGUUUUUUGUAUAAAAAGAACCACAAGAUUCAAUUGGGUUCAUUUAUUAGAAAGCUAGAACACCAGAUAUAAAAGUAGAAAGAAACACAGCAUGCAACAAUCAUUCCAUAUUUAGAAAGGUGGAAGCAAAACCUCCGAAUGGAUAGAGAGAUCUCAAGGCGGCGUUAAGUGUAAUGUUCGCAAACACACUUUACACUUCUGAAUUAAAUCCACUGAGAGCAUGUCUGGCCAAGCUUAAAUGAAAGGUAAAGUUACUAAACAAGUUAUGUUUCAAAACAUCUUUGGAUCAACUACUUUUUUCUUACUUCUAAAUAAAAGAACCUAUUUACAUUGAAAGUAACUCUUAGCUUGCUAUCAAAAUAAGUAAUUUAUUUCCAAUUUUAAUCAAUGAAUAAUUAUUUAUUUCAAAACUUAAUUAUCUUGUUAUAAGUAAACUCUUCAGACUUCAAGCUUGGCCAAAUAUGCUCAAACUCACUUCGGCCCACUAUCAAAAUGAAAUGAGUAAUUCUUCUUUACAACACAAAGCAAGGAGUUAUAGUAUAAAUAUUCGUAAAAUGGGUGCUAUUUUGAAGAUUCGGCUCAACAACUCUUUACCAGGAAUAGUUUUGUAUAUAAAGUCAUUUGAAUGAGCAGGGGACAAAGAAUGGGCGACCGUCAAUAUGUGUGUGAUAUUCAAGCUUCUCAAAGUACUUUUGUUAUUGGCAGCUCCAAGUGAGCCCAAGUAAAGACCCUGAGAAAGUAUAAGAACAAUCUCAUAAAUCACGAUGUUAAAAAUUAGAAUCACCAGCUCAAAAGUAAUCACCUCUUCGAUUUUGCAUGGAAUAUUAUCAUCUUUAAUAAUUUUUGUUGCUUGCACAACUUGCAGCAAUGCUGCAAUGCGAUCCUUGAAGAUGGUAUCAUUCAUUGUUAAUGCGGAAAAGUUCUAUAUCUUUUGCUCUCUUUCCAGAUGGUAUUGAUGCAACCCAAACCAAUAACCUGUACAUACAAUACGAUAUGAAGAACCAGAAAUAAAUGGAAAAUUAUCGUGCAUUCCAAAUCCAAGGCAUACAGACAAAAAAUAUUUAGCAACUACAACACACAAUUCCUCCUCCCACAAACAAAACAGAGAUACAACUAUAGAAUUCUAACCACCAGGUUUAUGUCAAGAUAGGAGUAUAAUUCUGAUUAUGCCUUACCAUCAAAAGUUAGUAUUUUUCUUUAAAUAUUAAUUUGAAGUCAACGUAUGCAUAAUCACAAAAUGCAGUUCGGCCUAAAUACUUGAAUAUUGUUUCUUGCCUUUAGCAUAAUUACCAAUAGAGAGUGUCACGAGAAUUAUUUAUGAUCUCCUACAAUUAUCAUAGCAGAUGAUCAUAAGACAAUUAUAUGUAACAUCAAUUUGCUGAAGUUUUAGGAUAUAUUCCAGUUAUUAUAUUAUUAACUGCAUUCCAAUUCACAGCAAAUACUAAAAUCACAGCAACAAUCUAUCAAUCGCCCAAAUGAGGUAGAAAAUGGAGUAUUUAAUCGGAUCCCAAUUUUCUUUAAUAAGAAAACAUCAAAUAAAUCAUCAACAAUAAAUAAUUUCCCAAAGAAUGACCCAUAACUUUUCAAGAAUGAAUCUUUCACGUUCUUGAAAAAAAUUAAAACUAAAAUUUAACGCUUUCAUAUUUUAUAAACAUAAUCACCACUAAAAUACUGGUAAAUAUCAUCAAAUGGGGAAAAGAAAAAUCACCAAAACUUCACAAUAUUGACAAUUCCAUCACUACGUAAAUGAUUAGCUAUAAAAUAAAAAAGAACAAAAGAUCACACGAUAAUUAAAUAAAUACAUACCCAACUUUGUGUGAAUUACAGAAUCAGUCGCAGAUAUGAUUCUCAGUGAAGGGUUUUCAACGGUAUAUACACACACCACUGUUAAAAAUAAAAUUUUGUUAUAUUUUAAAUCCCAUGUAAAUUUAGACAAAAACAAAAUUAAAUAAAAAUACAUAACUUUAAAUUGAUCCACUAGUUUUAAUUUUCACUUAAUUAGAAUCAUAAUAGAUAGAGAAAAAUACAUGAAUGUAAUUAUAGGUGAUGAUGACUCAAUGUGAUUUAUGUGCUGAGAAUCAUAUCGAAUUUCAAAGAUUGCAAAACGGAAUUUGAUGCAAUUUCAUCAGUUAAUUAAGAAAGAAGAAUAAUUGUAUCCAACAAAGUAAGUAAACUUCAGUUUGCUUAAUCGAACUUUCUCUUCUUUCUUUCUUUAGCCUUUAUUGUUUGAAACAUUUUAAUACUCAUAAUUUCGAUGGACAAAGAAUUUAUUUCAUGUUAAUUAAUGUUCAAUCAAUUCAACUUGUUCUUAUUUCAUUCAUUUGAUUUAAGAGUUUAUAGUUUUAGAGAUUGGGCGAAUAUAUAUUGAUAAAGAUGUAUUUAAAGUGGGAUGAAUAUAUAAAAUUCAUGUGGAUGUAUAAUAUUUAAAUGAAUGAAUUUAAUAAGGAUAGUAUUGAAAUAUGACGUGAAUGUAAAUAGUAUUUUUUAAAAAUUUUAAAAUUUUAUUAGAGAUAAAUUUAGAGUGGAACGUACUUAUAAAAAAUGUUGAUGGAAAGUAGUAUCAGUUUACAAUGGGGGGUGUAUGUGAGAGAGAUGGAGAUAAGAAAGUUGGUAUAUUAUUGGUGCUUUUUUUUUUUUUAUUUACUAUGGAUUUUUUUUUUCAAGUUUUAUUAAGUUGCGACUUGGGGGAAAUAGAGAUUUGAAUAGUGAUUCUUUGGUAAUCGUGUGGUUAAAAAAUAAAGAAAAAUUUUAAGUUUGCGUGUUAAAUUUUUUAUUAUGUGAAUAUGUAGUUAAUAAUGAGUAUAUAGAAAAAAAGAGUUUGAAAAUAAUAAUUGUCAAAUAAGGACUAAGUAUUGACAAGUCCAUAAGCCCAAAUAAGAUAGCAAAAAAAUAAAAAUAAUUAAAUUUGAUAUUUGUGGCGGCUCAUCCCAAACAAAAAUUCUCGCGUAAUCAACUCCUCAAAGCAAGGAUACGAUUAACGAUGGCAAAAAAUUCGUUCAACCGAAUACUUGUGGGCCCUACCUAAUCGAGUACCCGAAUACCUCUGGGCCCUACUUGUUGCUAUAUUAGAAUUAAUCUCAAUUUUACAUUUUUUAUCAAACAAAAAGAAAACACUUAUAAUCAUUUUUAAAAAGAACAUGAGCUGUUUUUAAUAAAUUGAAAAAGAAAAAAGUAAUAAUAUUAAUUAACUUAACAUAUUAAAAAUAAACAGGGUGAUAAAUGGAACAAGGGACUAUCCCCGCCCCGAUCUCGCCCUAAGCCCCAUCUCAUCAUACGUAAAUCGAGUAUGGUGACGAGACAAAGUAAUAAAAAUUCUCGACAGGAUAGGUGAUGAGAAUGAUCAACCCUUCCCACACACAACCCAUUGUCAUUUCUGGACAUGACGAUCGAUGUUGCACCGUGACAAGGAUGGGAAUAUGGUCCCAGUCUCUAUCGAAAUUUUUUAUUCAAUUCUUGCACUCGAAGGCAUGAAUAUUUCUCUCAUGCAUGGUCUAGUAGUUCUAGUGUCCAAAUUGAUAACGUUGUGGAUUCAUUAAAAAUCAUUUGCUUUUAAGUUUUGAUGAUAUGUUUACUAAGAAUCGCAUGCAUUAUAAGUUUGAAAUAUCUUUCAAUUAGUUGUUAUGAACGGUAUAUAAAAUAUUAUUUGAGUGACUGUUGGGAUUUGAAAAGUAUACCAACAAAAUUAUGGGGGUGUUGUGAGCGUGUUUUAAUCUCGGUAAGAUCUUUUAUUUUCCUUGUAAUUGGUAUUAGAAAGCAAAAAAAAAAAAAAAAGAUAAAUAAAAAAGGGUAGUAAACGGGGUAGGGAACCUGCCCCAUCCUUUCACUCCUUAAGCGACGAAAGAGAUUGGUCAAAAGGAAAAAAUGCUUGAUGGAGUGGAAGACAAGAUUGAUUGCCCCGACCUUCCCGGGUCAUCCCUAGGCCCAAGUUGUAAAUGUGCGCCCUAAAUAUGUGGGCCCAAGCUACAAAUGUGGGCCCUAAAUGUGUGGGCCCAAGUCCACAAUGUUGCAUGGUGGAUUUCUUUUUUGAAAUUUUUUUGCCUUUUUUAAAAAUGAAAAUUACAGAUUUUAAUAGAUUAAAAAUCCCUAUAUCAUAAAUAAGAUACCAUAUUUAAUAUUUCACAAAUCAAUUUUUUUUAAUUAAUUAAUAUAUUUAAAAAUUAAUCUAAUAAAUAAUAAUUUCAAACCCUAAUUAUUCUCCACUUUCAUUUUCCCCCCACCCCCCGUUUCUCUCUCUAUCACAUCUCUCUCUCAACUGCCCGGCGACUGGAGAACCGACGAUAGAAAGCUGCUUUGUUACAAUGUCGACGAACUAGUGGCGAUUUGAGGAGAUCUCACAAUCGGAGGAACUGCCCAUUGCAAUCUGUGGUGGUUAGGGUGGUGUGCGCGGCAGUGACGUGUAUGUGCGUGGGUGUGGUGGUGUCUGCAACGACGGUGGCGUGAGGCUGUGAUGGUUUUGUGUGAGACGACAGUGAAGGUGUGUGGUGGCGUGAUGGUGGAUCUGGUGAUGUGCAGGUGCAGUGGUGUUUGGAAUGGUGGCCGAUGGUAGGGGUCUUAGCUGUGGUGAUGGUAAGAUGUCGGUGGUUGCAGGUCGUGGUGGUGACGGGCUGUUGGCGUUCAGAGAAUUGAUGAUGAUGUUGGUCGUGGUCGUGGUGGUAGGGAGAUGAUUUUGUGCAGUUGCGAUUUGUUCAUUUUUGUUAGAUCUGGUGGCGGAGUGGGUUUCGGUGGCAGUAGAGGAUGUGGUGCUGGCUCCGAUGGCAACGAUAUUGGCUAUGCUGAAAAUUGUGACUAUGACUCCCAAUUGUGACUCGAAAUUGGAUUUGUGACCUGAAAAUUGUGAUUGUGACUCACAAUUGUAACUCACAAAUUAAGAGUCACAGUUGGUCGUGGCGGUAGCUGUGGUGGUCGUGGCGGUGGUUGUGGUGGUUUGGUUGAUUUGUGACUUACAAUUAAAUAUGUGACCUGAAAAUUGUGAUUGUAACUUACAAUUGUAUAAUUGAUCUGAAAAUUGUAACUGUGAAUUGUAAGUGUUGUGGUGGUCACAAAUUAUUUGGUUGAUUGUGAUAAUUAAAUUGGUUAAUUUGUGACCAAUGAAAAAGAUAAAUUGUAACCGAAAAAUAAGGUGAUCUAAUAAAAUGUUAAUCUGUGAUUGAUAAUUUAGGACUGUAUAAUAAGUUGUGACUUGUAAUAUUUAUGAUUUGUGACCAAUAAAAAAUCGUGACUUAUAAAUUUUUCGAUUUGUGACCGAUGAACAAACUGUGACCUAUAAAAUUUUUAAAUUGUGAUCGUAAAAUAAUUUGUAACAUAAAAUUUCUGAUUUGUGACCAAAAAAUAAUAAGUGACAAAUUAAAUUGUUAAUUUGUGACCAAAUUAUAUAAAUCUGUAACUUAAAUAUAUUUAAUUUCUAGAAUAAUUAAUUAAUUUAAUUAUAAAUAAUUUUAAUAAAAAUCUGAUUUUUGAAAUUUGAAACUUAUUUUCUUAUUUUUGAAAUGUGCCAUAAUUAAUAUCUUACUAAUGAAAUUUUCCCUUUUUAAAAUUAUUAGACAAAUAUGUUGACGUUAAAUUAACUCCAACGGAAUGUUGUAGUGGAACUAAUUGAUUAAGAAAAUAAAAAGUAUCUUAUGUAUCAUAUAAAUCAAUUUUAAAUUUAGAGGUUAAUAUUUGUAUACACUCUCUCUAUUUUGACUCUUUAAUUUAUUUUUUUCAAAAAUAUUUGUUGAUUUCUCGUCUCUUAUUUUAAUAUUUUUUAUAUGUCAAUUGUCAAUCAAUUCAAUUGUUAUUUGAAUAGUUUUAGAAGUAUAGUAUUAAUAUUUAUAAUUUAUUAAAUACAAUCAUUGUAAAUAAUUUUGGAGAUGCUUUAAUUAGAUUUUUUUUGGGCUAAGCUCGAUGAAGAAAUAAAAGUUACUUUUAAGCUUUCUUUUGCCAAAAAAAUAUUUUAAAAUAAUUUUAUUAAAAAAUUCUUUUUAAAAAUAUUGCUUGUUCCGUUUAUAAACAAUUAUAAAAGUCCUCGUUGAAUGGUUCAUGGAGUGAUUGAGUUUACAAAUAUUACAACAAGCUAAGCUAUAAACGUUUAUAAAUUUAGCUAUUGCUUGAUUUCAUUUUUGAUAAAUGGAUUUCUUAAAUAUGAUUUUUUAGAGAUGUGCGACUACAAAAAAUAGGGAAAAUUAGGUGUUAUGUGUAAAAUAUUUUAUUUUAAAAAUAUGAAGUUGAAAAUGAGUUCGAGGAAAUAGAUAUUGAAAAUAUCAAUAUGAGCUGUAUGCCAACUUUGACCAACCAAAAUCUCUGUAAUGCCAAUGUUAGAUAUCCGUAAAUAGACACUGCAAUAUCACUUGGAAUUGCAAUCCAAACCAUAUACCAAUGGCUUCUUUUUUGAACUACUCUGUUUUCGUCUUUGCCAUUCUUUUAUCCACUUCCUCUGCUCCAAAUGGCCUAAUCCUUCCCAUUAGAAAAGACACCAAUACCUUACAACAUUACACCUCAAUACAAAUGGGAAGCAACCAUGCCAUAGUUAACACAGUAAUCCAUCUUGCACAACAAUUCUUGUGUUUCGAGUGCGAUAAUUACACCACAUCCACCUACGCUCCGGUACCUUGUGACACACAAAAAUGUAAAAUAGCCAAGGGGUCUGGAUGUCAAAGUGGAAUGUCACGGGCCUCAGCGCCCUGGCUGCACCAAUAACACCUGUGCUGCCACCACUUUUGACCCAUUCGAGAGUUUUCUUCGAAGUGGAACUUUUGGAGAGGACACAUUAUUCUCCAAAGAUCAUAUGGGGGUGCCCUAGUUUUCCUUUGCUUGCACCAACUCAAAUUACAGGAAGGGUCUAGCCAGUGGCACUACUGGGAUACUAGGACUUGCAAGGACUGAAAUUUCAUUGCAAAAACGGGUUGCAGAGGAGCUCAAUUUACCAGAAAAGUUUUCUCUACGCCUUCCAUCUUCGGGACUCGGGAAAUUGUACGUUGGUGGAGGAUCGUCAAGCAAAUCAGACGUGUCGAAAUCACUUCUCACAACACCCCUCAUCAUAAACCCUGUAAGUACUGGACCUGCUGUUUUUGUCCAGGGUGAACCUUCUGAUGAAUAUUUUAUAAAUGUACAGUCCAUCAAAGUCCAAGGAAAACCUCUGUCUGUCAAAAGUUCCUACUUUACCAUUGACAACGAUGGAGUCGGAGGCACCAAAAUAAGUAACAUUAACAAUUUUACCUCACUGCAUUCUUCCAUUUACAAAACUUUAAACAGGGCUUUCGUCAAGGCAGCGUCUGAUAUGAAGAUCAAAAGCGUCAACGCAGUGGCACCAUUUAGAGCAUGUUUCAGUUCCUCCACCAUUUCCACCACCGCCACCGGCCCUUUUGUCCCAACUAUUGAGCUAGUUUUCCCCUGGAAUGAUGUUUCUUGGAAGAUAUAUGGUGCCAAUUCAAUGUUUACAGUCAACAAGAACGUUAUGUGCCUUGCAUUUGUGAAUGGAGGAUCGAGUCGAAGAACCUCAAUUUUUCCAAGUAUCUCAAUUAUCAUAGGGACAUACCAGUUAGAGGACAAUUUGCUCGAGUUUGAUCGUCUUGUCACAAUUUCGCUUUAGCUCUUCGCUUUUAGUCCGAAACAAGACUUGUUCCCGCCUUUAAGAUGAUCAAAUGUUGUCACAUUUGCAUAGUUCGUUCUUCAAAAAUAUUGUAUUUUAAUUAUAUGCUAGAAAAUAAUUGGAUCUAAUCAAAUAAAUUCCACUGUUUGACUACAUACAUAUGUACUCAUAAAUAACAGAAAAAUAAUUUAUUAGUAUUUGAUUUUCAUAAACUGUUUCAGUAAAAGAAUGUCAACCAGAAUCCAUUAAUUUACUAGUAUGCCUACUUCAUGCAAUUCCACAGACGACAGAAAAGGGCAGUCACAAAUAGCCCAUCAUCGAGAUUCAUUGCCAAGGCCUUUGAAUCUUUUGGUUACCGAGUUUUUAAAUGCAAACGUUUAUUACAAAAAAGCUAAAGAUUUGACAAAGGUUGCUGCUCCUUUCCAAUUGCUGGUUAUCGAUAAGUUGAUAAUCUUAGGAAACCGAGUCGAGUCAUAACUCCUUGUAGCUUAGGUAUAGCUCAUAGAACACUAAAGGAAGUGACCUGACUCCUGGGUAGGAGGCAGAAGCAUAGGAGCUAAGGAGUUCAAGCUUGUUUAAUGUGCUCAUUGAUGCCUAACCCUGAGAUGUAGAUCAUCCAAGGCACAUUAGCAUGUCGUACUCCUGCUCGAACCUGAGCAAUUGCAAUAAUCGGGUUCAUUGAUAUUCUAGGUAUAGUAAAUGCUAAUGAUAUUUUUCGCUGUAGUUUCAUCCAAGAAGGAUUUAUCUAAACCAAUUAUCUAAUCAUUUCUUUGAAUUUGUGGGCAAUUGCGGCUCAGGAAGGUUCUUCUCUCUUUGAAUGAGCUAGGGUCAGAUUACAGGUCCCCCUCUGCUUUUGGGUGCGACGGGGGCCCCUCAUGCUUCCCAAUUCGAAGCUUAGGUUACCUACUCUUGACGGUCAAAGCGAGCCCCUUUAUUUUGAAUUCAUUAAUUUAGAAUGAAUCAAAUCUCCCUAAGUAGGAUUCGAACCUAUGACCAAUCGAUUAACCAAGGAAAAUGAUUCAUGGUAACGACAAGAUACACUUGGGCCAGAAAAACCCCUGCUCCAAAUUGUUUAGCGUUCUAAGACAAGACGGCUGUGGUUGUCCUAAAAGGCUUUGCCAUGAAUCAUGAGGGAAGAGUGUAAAGCGUUGCUGAGUGUGAAGGCGAAGUUUCAAGCUUUACAAGCUCAAAUAAUCAUUUUCUUAUUUUUAAUAUUAUUUUAAAUUUUAAUCUUUUUAAAAAUCAUUUAAUAAUUAGAAUAAUAUAUAUCAAACAUCUAAAAUUAUAAAAAAUAUUAUAUUUAAUUAAUGAUUCCUACAAUUAGUCAAUCACACAAUUUUCAAAUUUUUUGAAAUGUAAGAACUAGACUAUUUUUCAUAAUUUCAAUUUUCAAUUAGACAAAUUUUACUUAAUAGAUGUAUAGGAACUUCAAACAUGAUUUCGAAGUUCUCAACAAGAUAAUGAAUCUCAAGAUCAUAAUUGUUAGUUCUGGAGUAUAAGUUUCCCCUUCAAACAAUUCGAAAGAAAUAUCGUAAUAGUACUAUAGAAAUUUAAAUUCGAGCCCACCGAUUUCACGAUAUUUCCUUAAAACGAAUUUGCUGCCUUUCACGGUACUAAAGGUGUCCAGCAAUCGUUUCCCAGGAUAGAACGGAUUUCCUCUCCUACGGAAGUAGCAUAGCAAUCUGCAGGAGUUCCAACGAACGCAACGAGGUGUUUAUACUUCGAAAAACAGUAUCAGAACGAGAGGGAGAGUGAGAUACAAAGCAGAGAAAGUUUGCAAUGAAAAUUGUGUAAUUUUUCUGGUAACAGAGCAGGCUAUUUAUAGAUUUGUUCGUGGCCAUUCGAACACCCUUCAGAAUAGUCGUCACUGUUCAGACAGCCUCUAAAACUCCAACAGACAUGUUAGUUCAAUACUGCAUCUGUUAAGUUAGUUAACGGUCGACAGUUUAACAGUCGACUGUUUGGUUGGUUAACAAUCGACUGUUUAACAGACCAUUCCAAAAAAUUACCCUGAAAAGGCUAAUGAAAAAAUAAAUUUUAUUAAGUACCAAAAAGAAUUUGAUUGUAUACAAUUUGGUCCAAAAAUUCAAAUAAAAUUUGUCCAAAAAAUUAAUAUAGUGCAAGGACGUACGUGCACGUGCUCGUGUGGAGCCGAGCCGAGCCGACGGCACGGGCAUGUGGGCUUAGGACCGAACCCGAUAGGAUAUAGGUCUCCCCCCUUCUAAAGACUAUUGGUACCCCUUGGGGUCCAAACCCAAUUCCCAAACUUGCACCAUAUAAAUUACACCAAAGUUUCAUAACUUUCCUAUGUGGAAUAAGUGUUUAGGCAAAUUAAAAUUUUCACUAAUUCAUAGUUUCAAGUGGGUUACUUUGAUAUUAAAUAUUUCAUUCAAUUCUAAAUGGUUUUCGAUAAAUAAAUAUUCCACGUUCAUCACCUUGCGGGGUAAAGCGUGAAUAUGCUAGAUCCCGUAUUAAUUAGAUGUGGUUCCCAUUGAAAUUUGGGUCCAAAGUUGACCCAUUUCAUACCAUUUUCUAACAAUAAUUAUAUAAUGCAGAGAGCAUCGUAACUUAAAUCUUAUUUAAUUCUUUAUUGGAUAUUGUUAUCUUUAACUUUUGCAUAGAUAAAGUCUUUUAAAAACUUGAAACUAAAGUCAAAUGAAUUUUCUUUUUUUUUUUUAAAUAAAAAAUAAUAAACUAACUCAAAUAAAAGGUUUUUUUAAAACAAAAAUAGUAAAAGAUUUAAUAAAGCGCGCCUAGGAAAAAGGGAAAAGAGGAAGAAAAAAAUUCAGCCGUUCAUGAAUUAGAAUAAACACCUAAGCACGAAGCGGGUCAUUUUGCCUGAACUUCAAACCUAGGCAUCGUCUAGACAAGUUUUUAGAAUACUGGGCAUAACUCGUUAGGCACAAUUGCUAGAAAGAUUAUGGUUCAAUAAUUGUUUCAGCCUUUGGAAACAGACAAGAAGCUGAGAGGUUUUAUUAUUCCCCUUACGGGUCGUUCAAAAACUAAAUGUGGAGGUUGCAGCCUGAGGACACCAACUUUGAUCAAUCAAAAAUCUGAAAUGCAAUUGCUGAAUGUCAAUAAAUAGAUCCUUCAGUCUCACUUGGAAUAUCCAUUAAUAAUCAUAUUCCAAUGACCUGUUCUAUCAAUUUUUCCCUUUCAUGUUUUUGUUCAUUAGGUGGUUCACAUUUUUGUAUAUGGGGCUACUUGGCCAAUUUAUAGUUUUAUCAUCUCAAAUUUGCUUAUAUAAGUUAUUUCUAUGAAAUUAUAUUAUUCUACAUAUUUAUUCCAUAUGUGAGUGCAACCAAUUUUACAUCUAGAUAGGAAUUCAGAUUGUACCUUUAGAUUGUGUUAAUAACUAAAAAUAACGUGAAAAUUUCAGAUCCAGUUAAGAUGAAUUUAACAGAGCAAUUAAUGAAUUAUUGUAAAAGAAAAAAAGUAAUUUUAGAUCCAUUGUUUCUAUUUGUGAGCCUUUAACCAAGAGUUUGCAGCUCUGUCACAAGAAGCUAUAGUGUUGAUCUAGAUAUGUGAGCCACCUUUUUGAUCGAAAGUUUUGAUUGAUUGUUGAGUUCGAUAGGUUAGGUUAUUAUUGUAAAGUUGUAGUUGUUGCCCAAGUCAUAAUUGUCCGUAACCUAUGCAAUCAUUACUCUCCUUUGAUUGGUAGGUGAGAAGGUGCUGAUAUUAAAGAUGACACUUGUCUUUUCAAGAGUAGUCAUUUUGGAGGCAGUGACAUCACUAGAAGAUAUCUUUUUAGGGGAGUAAUGAUGAUGUUUACAAACGACGGUGACACGUGAUUGAGCUCAUUGGAUUAGCUCUUGGUUCGACCUUGUACUGUAAUUUGGAGUUAUACCAUUAAACUCUUUCUAAUGUUAUUUGAAGUGGGUUCGAGGUUAUUUAUGAGUUCCAACACCAAAAAUUGUCCCUCAGUGCUGGGCUUCUUUUGGAAAAGAUCAGACAUAUACGUUUCUUUAUAUCAGCUCGUCGAAGUAAGAUUUUUGCUUGCAAAGAUGGAAUACAGAGUAUGCAUUUUGUAAUCCUCUUUUCUCUCGUUGAUAUAGUGAAAGUUCUAAUGUGGGUCAAUGGAUGUAGGCACAAUUCUCGACCACUUUUAAAUCCUUGUAUCUUAUAUUUGCACUUAUUUUUAUAUCAUUUAUUCUCCUCGGUGUAAUUUUUAGUCCGCCUUAUUGAUCUGACAUAAUCAUUAGCGUCUUAAUUCAUAACAAAAAUAAAAUAAAAUACGAAAUACUGAAGAGCCCUAAUAAUUUUUAUGUAAUAUCUUAACAAACAUAUUGAAACAUUUUAUAAAACAUUGUUUGCAACUAAAAUAUGCAGACUCAUCUAAGCAUUCAAACUAUUUUAACAAGCCGAAACACAAAUCGCCAUAAAAUAUACAUAUAUACAUCAAAUAGACAUUAAUCGCAUGUUAAGUACGUGUUACUCGAUAUGACCAAACAGUAAAUUAAAAGAAAACUAAAAUUUUAUUUAUAAUAGUGAAUAUUAAAUAUGCACUAACUGAUAGUAUCUUUUAGCAAGAGGUCCAUGAAAUACAUUUUAAAAAAAAAAAUUUAAAAUAAAAAGCUUAGCAAUGUCACCCACAAUAUUCAACCACUAUAUAGUACAUAUGUAGACGUGGGCCAGUUGCUCCACCCUGUGGACCCUCAACCUUUCUUAUCCACUUCAAAUUCUAGUUCAAGUUUGGAAAUAACUAUUGACUGAGGUUUUUUUAUUUUAUUUUCUUUUAUUUUUUAGUUCCCAUCCUUUUAUAAUAGUUUUUAUUAUUGAAGGCAAAAAAGGUGAAGCGACUCUAAAGAAGCAGGCAUGAAAAUUUUGGGAUGCUUUCGGACGAGAUUAAUAAACUACGACUACUUAUCUUUUUUCUUAGAAUUAUCUUGUCCCAAUCAUCGGAAAAGUUGGAAUGUUUAGGGAAGAUUAAUAACUGGAGAUUUGGGUUUUUUGUAUUACUAUUUAAACCGAGCAUCCUUUGAACUUCUACACAUUUUUAUUAUGGAAAGUAAGGUGGAGACGAAUCUUGAUAUAACAUUAAUGUUAAAAUAAGUAACUUAUUUAUUUUUAAUUUUAUUAAUAGAAAACUUAUAUAUUCUAAAGCUUAUAUCUGUUAUAAACAAACAUAUUAAGUUUAGCCAAACAUGUUCGAUGAUCCUAAAGAUAAAAAUGAAUUCUAACUGAGAACAUAUAGAAGAGAUAUUGAAAUAUUCAAACUGUAUUAUUGGUGAUCUUAUCAAAGGGCAUUAACUGUUAGAAUAAGGCAACUAUGAGCAAAGGGUCCCACCGCGGAUUUUGAGCAGCCUCAUAUAUGAGAAAAUCUCUUUUCUCUUUCCAUUUUCACUUAAUUAAUGGAAAUCUUAUCAAUGAAGCAUGGAUGUAUGGUCAAAGCCUUAAAGGAGAGAAGAAGCAGGCGCUCGAGCUGUUAGAUGAUAUAUUUAUUCUCAUCAAAAAGUUCCAUCACGUGCAAAUUGGAUUUAUUUUUGAAUUAAAUGCACGACACACGAAUACACUUUCAUAAAUGAGUGACGAGAUUUGCUAAACAUUUCAUCUCAAAGGUUAAGUUGUUAAAAGAGAAUCACACAUAUUCAAUUAAAUAGCAUCUUCAACCAAACUUUAAUGGCUCAAUUAUCAGGUUUCUAGAGUUUGUGCCACAACUCAUAGAAGAACAAUGAGUCAUUUUCAAGAAAAAUAUAAAACCUUUAUAAAUGGCAAUUUACAAUAGAUACGGCAAAAUUUUCAAAUCGUUACACACAGAAAGAAUUAAACUUUCCAGAAAGAAUUAUAGCAAAAGACAGGAAGUGACCAGUUGGGUUGUUUCCUCUUCUGGUAGUUCGAAGAUUAAGUGCUGAGAUGUGCAGCCUUAAUUUGAACACCGACUUUGACCAAUCAAAAUGUCUGUAAUACCCUUGUUGGAUCCCUAUAAAUGGAUCCUCCAAUCUCAAUUGGAAAUGCAAUCCAUAUUGUUGGAAUCCAAUUCACAUCCCAAUGGCGGCUUCUCUCAAUUCCUUCCUUUUUUUCGUUGCCAUUCUUGUAUACACUUCUUAUGCUCAAAAUGGCCUAAACCUUCCUAUUCGGAAGGAUGCCACUACCUUGCAAUACUACACGACACUAGAAAUGGGCAGCACCCGAGCUACUGUGAAUGCUGUUAUCGAUCUUGGAGCCCAGUUCUUCUGGUUCGAUUGCGAUAAUUAUACCUCAUCCACCUAUGUUCCGAUCCCUUGUGGCUCUCAGAAAUGUGAACUAGCUAAGGGGAGUGGAUGCAUCGGGUGCAAUAUGCCGCCACGACCCGGGUGCACCAAUGAUACCUGUGGUGCCUCGGCUUACAACCCGUUUCAAGAUGUUCUUGUCUCUCAAGGGUUUGAAGAGGACACGCUAUACUCAAAAGAUCAUGUCGAGGUGCCUCAAUUCCCUUACGCUUGCAUGAACACACGUUUCUCAGAGGGACUAGCCAGUGGCACGAGCGGGAUUCUAGGCCUUGCUAGGACCGAAAUUUCUUUGCACAAGCAGGUUGCAAAUAAGUUCAAUUUACCCGACAAGUUCUCUCUAUGCCUUCCAUCUUCAGGACUCGGAAAAUUGUACGUUGGUGGAGGAUCAUCAAGCAAAUCAGACGUAUCGAAAUCACUUAUCACAACACCCCUCAUCAUAAACCCUGUAAGUACAGCCCCUAUUUACACCGUUGGUGAUCCAUCCGAUGAAUAUUUCAUUAAUGUACAGUCCAUCAGAAUUCAUGGAGAACCUUUGUCAGUAAAAAGUUCCUACUUUACCAUUGACAAAGACGGAGUUGGAGGCACCAAAAUUAGUACAUAAACAAUUUCACCGCACUUCAUUCUUCCAUCUACAAACCUUUCACCAGGGCUUUUGUCAAGGCUGCGUCUGACAUGAAGAUCAAAAGUGUCGACGCAGUGGCGCCGUUUAGAGCAUGUUUCAGUUCCUCCACCAUUUCCGCCACUGCCACCGGCCCUUCUGUCCCAAUAAUUGAACUAGUUUUGCGAGGAAAUGAUGUUUCUUGGAAGAUAUAUGGUGCCAAUUCAAUGUUUGCAGUGAAUAAGAAUGUGAUUUGCCUUGCAUUUGUGGAUGGAGGAUCAAGUCCAAGAACUUCAACCAUCGUCGGCGCAUACCAAUUGGAGGAUAAUCUGCUCGAGUUUGAUCUUGUCUCAUCGCAACUUCGCUUUGGCUCUUCUCUUUUGGUCCAGAACAAGACAUGUUCCCGCCUUUAAGAUGUUCGAUUUUCAUCAAGUUUUUCCAAAUGCUUUUGUAUUUCUCAGAUUGAUGAUCAAUAAUAUGUAUCUAUCAAACAAAUUCUGUUGUUUGACUAUAUGCAUAUGUGGACAACAAUAAACUUCACUGAUAUUUGAGUUAUAAAAACAAAGUGCAAAUACAAAAUUAUAAACUUCAGAGAAAUUUUACCUUGUUGAGAUCAUUGCAACAUAGUGGUUGAAUUACAAUUAGUAAAUUUGUCCUGACUAUAUUCUGAAGUUAAAAUCACCUUGAAUUCAAAGUUGGGUGACAAAAUGAAUCAAUCGACCCGUGAUCACGAGCCACGACUAAAACAGGCGAAAAUUCCACGAGGCGAGUUUGGGACAAGAAACCUUGUCUACACUCAAGUUCGACGUGGUGAUGGGUAUCAAUCUCCCCCACCCUGUCCCGUAUUAUCUAAAAUUAAGUCAAAAUCAACAGUUAAUUUUAAUCAUAUAUUUUAUGGGAUCUACAAUUUUUCAAUCCACACAUUUCAUCAACUUUUAUUAAUAUUUUUUAAAAAUUGAUUUUAAUCCCUACCAAACAAUGACAAAAAAAAAAAUGUCAUUUAAACCGGGGAGUUCGACCCCAAACCAUGGCCCAUGGGUACAUGGAUAUGAUUGGGAUAUCAUUAUGUACUAAUAAUAGUGAAAGGAUCUAAGGAAGUGGAUAUGCAACCUAGAAUUAGAUGGUAGCAAGUGGCAAGAUCAUGAAUGGAUGAUAAUGCAUAAGACAACAACAAUUAAUUUAAACAAGAUCUUUCUUUUAGAUCGAUUUAACGUAGGAAAUUCUAUUAUUUCUUUUCGACUAUGCUUUUUUUUCAUAAUUAUCCUGCUUAUCUAAAUAAAUAUCUUAUCCCUAGUAGCGUGUAUAUACUAACUUUCAUUUCUUAAUCUUAGUCAGCAAACAUGAAGAAAAUCCUAAGAAAGUGUACAUAUGCAGGUUCAAUUAUUAUUUAAAAAAAAAAAAAGAAAAGAAAAGAAAGGAAGACCCCAUUAGGACAUGUUUGGGAGUUUCGGCAUACUAAUUAUGAACAUUUUUAAAGUACCGAUUUUUAGUGUUUAUGACCGAAUCGAUUUUGAGGGCUUUUAGUAGUGUCCAACCUAUGUUUGGGAGUUUAUUAUCCAUCAAUCCUAAAAAUAAAUUGUAAAAGAAUAAAACUACAUUUAUGUCCAUUAGUAAAUUUUUCAAUUUAUAGUUUCUUACAUGAUUUUUUCCACUCAUAAGUGAUAUUUUACUUAUAAAUAAUUUUUUUACAUAUAAGUUAAUAUUUAACUUAAUAAAUCAAAUAAGUUAAAUAUUCAUUUAAUUUUUAAGUUAAUUUUUUUUUACUUAUAAGUAAAUUUUACAUUUUAAAAUAAUUUUACAUUAAUAUUUUUAUUUAUAAUUAUCUUUUUCAUAUUUUACAAGUGAAUUUUUGUUUUAUUGGUAGUAUAAACAAUUUUUUUAUAUAUAUAAAAGUGAAUUUUUACUUAUAAGUAGUUUUUAUUUAUAAUGUAAUUUUUCUUAUCUUAUUUACUUAUAAGUAUUUUUUAAAUAUAAUUUAAUUUUUUUACUUAUAAAUAUUUUUAUUUAUUAUAUUUUUAAUUACAAGUCAAUUUUGAAGAAAAUAUGUUGGUUGGAAAUAAUUAUUUUAUAAAGGGUAAAACAGCCAUCUAAGGGUCUUUGGAUGCCUUUGUUAUACAUCCACUCUAAAAAGAAAUAGAACAAAAUUUGAUCCACGAGCCAAGCCUUGUAUAUUUCUUGGAUACCCCCAUGGCAUGAAGGCCUAUAAAUUGUAUGAUCUUCAAUCCUAUUCCAUCAUUGCUUCAAGAGAUGUCAUAUUUCAUGAAAACAUAUUUCCAUUUCGUAAUUCAGAUUUCCUAAAAUCUUUAUCAAAUUCCAGUAUUUCCCUUGAAGCUGAUCAGUCUCUAUUUUAUCCACAUUCUUAUCCUUCAGAUGACAUCCCAUCCUUCCCAUAUGCUCAUUUCCCAGUAUCUCACUCUAAUCAUCACUCCCCAAUAUCAGAUGUUUCUCCUCCUGGUUUUUCUUCUAGUACUCAAGAAUCCAGUUUUGAUCAUNNNNNNNNNNNNNNNNNNNNNNNNNNNNNNNNNNNNNNNNNNNNNNNNNNNNNNNNNNNNNNNNNNNNNNNNNNNNNNNNNNNNNNNNNNNNNNNNNNNNNNNNNNNNNNNNNNNNNNNNNNNNNNNNNNNNNNNNNNNNNNNNNNNNNNNNNNNNNNNNNNNNNNNNNNNNNNNNNNNNNNNNNNNNNNNNNNNNNNNNNNNNNNNNNNNNNNNNNNNNNNNNNNNNNNNNNNNNNNNNNNNNNNNNNNNNNNNNNNNNNNNNNNNNNNNNNNNNNNNNNNNNNNNNNNNNNNNNNNNNNNNNNNNNNNNNNNNNNNNNNNNNNNNNNNNNNNNNNNNNNNNNNNNNNNNNNNNNNNNNNNNNNNNNNNNNNNNNNNNNNNNNNNNNNNNNNNNNNNNNNNNNNNNNNNNNNNNNNNNNNNNNNNNNNNNNNNNNNNNNNNNNNNNNNNNNNNNNNNNNNNNNNNNNNNNNNNNNNNNNNNNNNNNNNNNNNNNNNNNNNNNNNNNNNNNNNNNNNNNNNNNNNNNNNNNNNNNNNNNNNNNNNNNNNNNNNNNNNNNNNNNNNNNNNNNNNNNNNNNNNNNNNNNNNNNNNNNNNNNNNNNNNNNNNNNNNNNNNNNNNNNNNNNNNNNNNNNNNNNNNNNNNNNNNNNNNNNNNNNNNNNNNNNNNNNNNNNNNNNNNNNNNNNNNNNNNNNNNNNNNNNNNNNNNNNNNNNNNNNNNNNNNNNNNNNNNNNNNNNNNNNNNNNNNNNNNNNNNNNNNNNNNNNNNNNNNNNNNNNNNNNNNNNNNNNNNNNNNNNNNNNNNNNNNNNNNNNNNNNNNNNNNNNNNNNNNNNNNNNNNNNNNNNNNNNNNNNNNNNNNNNNNNNNNNNNNNNNNNNNNNNNNNNNNNNNNNNNNNNNNNNNNNNNNNNNNNNNNNNNNNNNNNNNNNNNNNNNNNNNNNNNNNNNNNNNNNNNNNNNNNNNNNNNNNNNNNNNNNNNNNNNNNNNNNNNNNNNNNNNNNNNNNNNNNNNNNNNNNNNNNNNNNNNNNNNNNNNNNNNNNNNNNNNNNNNNNNNNNNNNNNNNNNNNNNNNNNNNNNNNNNNNNNNNNNNNNNNNNNNNNNNNNNNNNNNNNNNNNNNNNNNNNNNNNNNNNNNNNNNNNNNNNNNNNNNNNNNNNNNNNNNNNNNNNNNNNNNNNNNNNNNNNNNNNNNNNNNNNNNNNNNNNNNNNNNNNNNNNNNNNNNNNNNNNNNNNNNNNNNNNNNNNNNNNNNNNNNNNNNNNNNNNNNNNNNNNNNNNNNNNNNNNNNNNNNNNNNNNNNNNNNNNNNNNNNNNNNNNNNNNNNNNNNNNNNNNNNNNNNNNNNNNNNNNNNNNNNNNNNNNNNNNNNNNNNNNNNNNNNNNNNNNNNNNNNNNNNNNNNNNNNNNNNNNNNNNNNNNNNNNNNNNNNNNNNNNNNNNNNNNNNNNNNNNNNNNNNNNNNNNNNNNNNNNNNNNNNNNNNNNNNNNNNNNNNNNNNNNNNNNNNNNNNNNNNNNNNNNNNNNNNNNNNNNNNNNNNNNNNNNNNNNNNNNNNNNNNNNNNNNNNNNNNNNNNNNNNNNNNNNNNNNNNNNNNNNNNNNNNNNNNNNNNNNNNNNNNNNNNNNNNNNNNNNNNNNNNNNNNNNNNNNNNNNNNNNNNNNNNNNNNNNNNNNNNNNNNNNNNNNNNNNNNNNNNNNNNNNNNNNNNNNNNNNNNNNNNNNNNNNNNNNNNNNNNNNNNNNNNNNNNNNNNNNNNNNNNNNNNNNNNNNNNNNNNNNNNNNNNNNNNNNNNNNNNNNNNNNNNNNNNNNNNNNNNNNNNNNNNNNNNNNNNNNNNNNNNNNNNNNNNNNNNNNNNNNNNNNNNNNNNNNNNNNNNNNNNNNNNNNNNNNNNNNNNNNNNNNNNNNNNNNNNNNNNNNNNNNNNNNNNNNNNNNNNNNNNNNNNNNNNNNNNNNNNNNNNNNNNNNNNNNNNNNNNNNNNNNNNNNNNNNNNNNNNNNNNNNNNNNNNNNNNNNNNNNNNNNNNNNNNNNNNNNNNNNNNNNNNNNNNNNNNNNNNNNNNNNNNNNNNNNNNNNNNNNNNNNNNNNNNNNNNNNNNNNNNNNNNNNNNNNNNNNNNNNNNNNNNNNNNNNNNNNNNNNNNNNNNNNNNNNNNNNNNNNNNNNNNNNNNNNNNNNNNNNNNNNNNNNNNNNNNNNNNNNNNNNNNNNNNNNNNNNNNNNNNNNNNNNNNNNNNNNNNNNNNNNNNNNNNNNNNNNNNNNNNNNNNNNNNNNNNNNNNNNNNNNNNNNNNNNNNNNNNNNNNNNNNNNNNNNNNNNNNNNNNNNNNNNNNNNNNNNNNNNNNNNNNNNNNNNNNNNNNNNNNNNNNNNNNNNNNNNNNNNNNNNNNNNNNNNNNNNNNNNNNNNNNNNNNNNNNNNNNNNNNNNNNNNNNNNNNNNNNNNNNNNNNNNNNNNNNNNNNNNNNNNNNNNNNNNNNNNNNNNNNNNNNNNNNNNNNNNNNNNNNNNNNNNNNNNNNNNNNNNNNNNNNNNNNNNNNNNNNNNNNNNNNNNNNNNNNNNNNNNNNNNNNNNNNNNNCUUCCAGACUUACGAGGUAAAUGUGUUGUGACAGGAUGUUCUGGUUCCAAGGUAUCAAUAGGGUGUUGUGCUCCAUCAUGACUAACAUCUGUAUUGGAGUUAGGAGUUUGUGUGUGAGAUGGAGUAUCUAGAAUAUCAGGAAGGGAAGAUCUUAUUUGAUUGGUAUUAGUAUGAUCAUGGUUAUCAUUAUAGGGCUCGGUGAUGACAGGAUCAUUGGAAAUAUUGAGGUUUUGUGUGAAACUGAGGUGAGGGAGAUCAGACGGUUGUCUGUUGCUGUUGGGGUUAGAGUUCUUGUAAGGAAAAACAUCUUCAUGGAAUAUUACAUUCCUUGAGAUGAAAAUUUUGUCUGAUUCUAGGUCCAACAAUCUAUAACCUUUCACACCAAAAGGAUAGCCAAUGAAUACACAUCUUCUAGACCUAGCAUCAAACUUAUGUCUGCCAUUGGUGAGAGUGGUUGCGAAGGCUAGACAACCAAAAACUCUUCGAUGGGUAUAGUUGGGCUUAAUAUGAAAGAGUAUCUCAAAGGGACUUUUAUGAUUUAAAUUGGGAGUUGGUGUCCUGUUAAUUAGAUAAACUGCUGUAAGGACAAAAUCAUUCCAGUAUUUUAGAGGCAGCCCACUUUGGAAUUUUAAGGCUCGUGCUAUGUUCAAAAUGUGUUGGUGCUUUCUCUCAACCACUGCAUUUUGCUCAGGUGUUUCAACACAACUUCUUUGAUGUAUUAUGCCUUUUGUUAAAUAAAAUUGGGUCAUAUUGAACUCCCCUCCAUUGUCUGUUCGAAUUGUCUUUAUUUUGGCUUCAAAUUGGGUUUCUAUCAUGGCACAAAAAUUUUGUAAAGCAGUAGUAGCAUCAGACUUUAGCCUUAACAUAUAAAUCCACGUGCACUUACUGAAAUCAUCUACAAUAGACAGAAAAUAUUUAGAACCAUCUCUGCUCAAUUCCUUACAAGGACCCCAGAUAUCACAGUGAAUUAGCUCAAAGCAUUUUCUAGUCUUGCUGUUGCUUACAUUGAAAGGUAACUUGUGCUGUUUGGCUAGAGGGCAGAUGGCGCAGGGAUUAGAUGAUGGUGUUAGGUGAACAUUACUAUCAGGACUAAAAUUGGAAUAUGAGGAAUGACCUAGUCUAUAAUGCCAUAGAUCGAUGUCCUCAUGUUUAUUUGUAGUAGUGGCAGAGAGAGAACACUUGAUUUGAUUGAGGAUUUCUGAUAGAGUUGAGGAAGUGAUCGAUUUUCUCAGCAUAUGGUAUAAUCCAUCCUUCACCUCACCCAUUCCAAUCAUUUUCCAAGUCAAAAGGUCCUGAAUACAGCAGAAAUCAGAGAAGAAAGUAAGGCAGCAAAUUCAAAGUUUGAGUAAGCUUCUUUAUAGAAAUCAAAUUAAAAGUAAAACUGGGUAUGCAAAGGACAUUGUAGAGGAUGAUGGAGUCUGAAAAUUUGAUGGUUCCUAUGUGUGUGACUGGGACCAUUUCUCCAUUUGGUAAACUUACAAAGUAAGAUGCACAUGCUUGAAUAGAUGUAAAUUAUGAGAUGGAGCAGACCAUGUGGUCUGUUGCUCCAGUAUCGAGUAUCCAUGGGAUAUCAGGUGCACCUCUUUGGUUGUGAUGAAAAGCAGUUAGUGAUAGAGAUAUACCAGACAUUUUAUUGUUGCUUUCCUCAGAAAGGGUUGAAGUGAGGAUUUGGGCAUUGGAUGGUGUUGGAGUGAAGUUCUGGGAAUUGUCUGUUGGUUUGAGGAGUGCUAGCAGCUGAGAGUAUUGCUCAAGACUUAAAGAUACUUGGCCUCUGUCUUUCACCACCUCCCUGUUCGAGCCUACACUUGCAGUGGCUACAUUGGCAGCCAAUUUUCCCUUAUCACUGAGGCUAUGUCCUGGUGGGAACCCAUGAAGCUUGUAGCAUUUAUCUGUUCCAUGUCCUGGCAUUUGACAGUAGUUGCAGAUAGGCCUAUUUGGAUUUGCUUUAAAACAUCGUUCAAGUGAGUGCCCAGCAGUUUUGCAGUAAGUGCAAUAAUACUUAUCCUUUCUGUGUGGUGAAGAGUUUUGGCCAUUUCUUUCUCUAAAAUUCCUUCUACUGAGAAGUGCCAUGGAAUCAGCAUUUGUAGGAGUUGGAUUAGAUAUUUCCCUUCUUUUCUCUUCUUGCUGGACUAAGGAAUAUACCUCACUUAAGUUAGGAAAAGGUUUGAUUAGCAGAAUUUGAGCCUUAAUUUCCUUAUAAGUUUCAUUCAAUCCCAUCAAAAACUUCAUAACACAGUCUCUUUGCUGAUUUUGAACUACAACAUUCAAUCCCCCACAUGUGCAGUUAGGUAUGCUCUCAUAAUUCAUCAGUUCAUCAAGUAGAAUUUUGAGUUUGGAAAAAUAUACACUUACAGAAUCUUGGUUUUGCAUCAAGGUGGUGAUGUCCUUUUUAACUUCGAAAAUUCGUGGAGCAUUUUGUUGUGAGAAUCGUUGCUCAAGAUCCAGCCAAAGGAGAUGAAUAGUUUCAGCAUAGAUGGUACUGCUUUUGAUGUCUGUUGCCAUGGCAUUUUGCAUCCAGCUUAUGACAAUAUCGUUACAUCUUAACCAAUGUUCCAUUAAUGGGUCAUUCUGAUCUUUGGGCUCGCAGAGGGUGCCAUCGAUAAAGCCAAGCUUGUUCUUAAUCCUCAAGGCUCUCUUCAUCGAUCGAGCCCAGGAAUAGUAGUUGGUAGAGUCUAAAACAUGGCUGACCAGUGCAGUAGCACUUCCAUCAUUGCUGCCAAUGAAGUAGGGACUGCUAGGAUGGACUGGAUCAUGGAAAAUUGACGUGUUGCUUCCACCUGUUUGCUGUUGGUUUUGGUUUUGAUUUGUAUUUGGGGAAGGAUCUGUAUUUUCAGAAUUGGAUCCCUCUUUCUCAUGCUCUGAUACCAUAUUAGUUUUGGAGAAUAAAAAAAAAAUACUUAACACAAUUUAGCUGAAAUAAUGUUGAGAAUUUUAUUCAUUCAACCGUGUCUUUCAUAUACAAUGGGAAUGUGUAUAUAUACAACUAAAAAGGAAUCUUUUCCUAACAAAUUUACACAGAGAGAGAGAGGUUGCUGUCAACAAAUCUAACUUUCCCAACCAAUUUCUUUCUAGAUUAUUCUGCCAUUGCUCUGUCAUCAAUUCCAUGUGAUUAUUUCUCCAGCUGUGCAGCAAGUCCACGUGGUUUCCUUCUUGCCAAUAUUUCAGCUGCGCCAUCUUCGACCCUGCUUCCUUCCAGUGUUCCAGCUUAGCUAUCUUCUAACUUUAAUAAUUCCAGGGAAUGUUCACAUUACUCGACGGUAUUGUAUAGGAGAACAUAUAAGAUUUUGACUUGUUUUUGUUCCUUAUUAUAUCCCGUUUGUUGGAACGACAAUUUGAGACCUAGUCUCCGAGGUUGUCAUCAGUCGUCCGAUUGUGAUACUACUACUAAGGUUACAAAACUUGGAAUGGGGCCACCUAGUCGAGGCAGCUAGAGCAGGGGCCAUAUCCCGAACCAGAUGACCCUGCCACGAAAAUUGCAGCUCGGAAAAGGGAUUCAAUUUGUAACUUAGACACUAGCGGUGACAUGGAUUGUAGUGAGCUUCAGCUGACAUUGCUUAUAUGUAAUCUAUAUUUAUGUUAAUCCAAAGUUGAUCCGAUUUGAUGGCUGUCUAAGGAACCAAGAAAAUGAAGAAAAGUGUGUUAAAUUUUUGUGCGUGUAACACAUAUUUAAUCAAAGUAAAUUCUCUUCAAGAUUAAAAUUUUAGAGGGUACGUUGUUUCCAAAUAAGAAAAGAGGACGAUGAUAUAUGUUAUUAAAUAUUAUCUUUUUAAAAAAAAUAAAAAUAAUAAGUGGCGUGUUGUUGUCUAUCGAAUUUCUUGUGCAACCUUGAUAAGAGUUGUAAAGUUUUGAGCAUGAGAUGAGUCAGAUUGGAACCGAAGGGAUAAGGAACAACUAAGCAAGUGGAGUAAUGCAAAAAUAGCAUAUUCAGAUAAAUUUCACAUGGGAUCAAAUAUUUAUAUAUGAAGAAUUUUCUGAAAUCUUACGACUCGUGGAAAUGGUCAUACAAUUGGAAAAACCAGAACAAAAAUACUAGAAGAAUAAUCUUCAAAUUCAAACUUCCAACUUGCGAACGUUGACAAAAUGCGUGUUUCCUAACAUUAAUGUUAUUUAAAUUCAGCAACUUGCAUUAAUAUAAUAUUAGGGAGCAUUGUUCCGAUCUCUAUGAUAUAUUAGGUUUGCAGGACUCGAUACUAAACAUGAUUUUAGCUUCUUUUUUCUUAAAAUUUUUUAUUACUGUAAAGUCAACUUUGAGAAAAGAACAAUCCAUCCGGGUUCUAAUAUAUGUUCUUCUUGAUUUGUAGCUUGUGAAGUAUUAUUCAAUGGCUUUCACGUACUUGUUUUCUUUAUCCUGCAUUCUGUUCCAUUUCAUAUGCCCUUCCGUAGCCAAAAAUUCUUUCAGACCAAAGGCACUUUUCUUACCGGUAACCAAAGAUCCAUCAACCCUUCAAUAUGUUACUCAAAUCGAGCAAAGGACACCUCUAGUGCCAAUUAAACUGACUAUUCACCUUGGUGGACAGACCUUAUGGGUGGAUUGUGAAAAUGGAUACAACAGUUCAUCGUAUAGGUCUGCUCGGUGUCGCUCAGCCCAAUGCUCGAUUGCCAAGUCCCAUGCCUGUGGAGACUGCUUCACCCGUAUGCCUAAAAUCGGAUGCAGCAAUAAUGCCUGCUAUAACACCCCGGAUAAUCCUGCUAUCAACACUUUCUAUGAUGGUGGGGAGAUUUCUGAGGAUGUUUUGUCAAUCCAAUCCACCAACGGAUUCAACCCUGGCCAACCUGUUAACAUUUCACGAUUUAUUUUCUCGUGUGUUCCCUCAUUUCUGACAGCAGGGCUUGCUAACGGGUUAAGGGUACAGCAGGGCUCGGGGGAAGCCUGAUCGCCCUUCCUUCUCAACUUGCUCGUGUUUUCAGCUUUCAAAGAAAAUUUGCUAUUUGCUUGAGCUCCUCCACUAGAUCCAAUGGCAUCGUAUUUUUUGGAAAUGGCCCAUAUGUUUUGCUUCCUGGUAUUGAUGUGUCUAUGUCUCUUAUUUAUACACCACUUAUCAAGAAUCCAUUUGGCAUUGGAUCCGUCCCAUUUCUGAACGAGCUCUCUUCGGAAUACUUCAUUGGAUUAAAAUUGAUCAGAAUCAACGGAAAAUCAGUGCAACUAAAUAGAACUUUGCUAUCAAUUGACAGGGAAGGUAAUGGUGGAACCAAAAUCAGCACCUUUAGACCUUACACUGUAAUGCAGACUUCGAUUUACAAUGCUUUGAUUACUGCUUUCAGAAAAGAACUAGCCAAUGUCACUAGAGUGCUUCCGGUAGCACCAUUUGGGACAUGCUUCGACUCUAAGAACAUUGGUAGCACGCUCGUGGGGCCUGCUGUUCCACCCAUUGAUCUUGUCUUUAAAGGCAACAAUGUGUACUGGAGUAUUUUUGGUGCAAACUCAAUGGUGCAGGUUAAUGAAGAUGUAAUGUGUCUCGGAUUCGUGGAUGGAGGGGAGAAUCCCAUGACAUCAAUAGUCAUUGGUGGACAUCAAAUUGAGGACAAUCUUCUGCAGUUUGAUCUAGCUAGAUCUAGGCUCGGGUUUAGCUCUUCGCUCUUGUUCAGGCAAACAACCUGUGCCAACUUCAACUUUACAUCUCUCGCUUAAGGGUUCUGUUUCAUUUUUCUCAUUCAGAAUAACAUCAAACUAUAAAAUAAAUUCUUGAACUCUUUCUGUUUUUGUUCUGUUCUCAUACAACUGCACGUUUUUUUCUUCGUGUUCCUUUUUUUGCUUUUCAUAUCGCCUAAAAGUUGGCAAAGUAGUGGAUAUUAGUAACUAAAAGUAUGUUCUUGAUUUUGCUUGGAAAUGAUAUUAACAACUGCACCCCCUCCAACCUCCACCCCAUCCCAAAACAAAAACAUUGUAAGUGUUAUAUAAUUGAGAAACAGUUGGACAGUAAAGGUCAACCUAUUUUCCUUAAACAUUAAAGAAGCAUGAGUUACUUAUAAUCCCUUUGAAAGAACACAAGGAUUGCGUUGAAACAAACAGUCCCCAACUUCUGCAACGUUAUAAACUCCUCAAUCGAAAUGUGUAUUCCUAACAUAGAAAUAAAAAUGCAAAAGUGCGAAAGGAUUCAACAUUAAACUACAAUUCAUUAGGCCUGUGGAACUCAAAAUCCAAUUCCACGAGCACGAAAAAAUGCAGCAAAGUAUGAAAGCACCAUUUCGGGAACUGUCAUCGACUCCUGACAUUUUAGGUAGUACAGCCACAAGAAGCCAGCCCAAAAAUGACCUAGAAAAUGGAGAUUCAAUGCUAAAUGAAACUGUCUUCAACUCUCUUCAUAAAAUCGACAAAAGUCUUGUGCGUAAGGUACAUGUCUACAAAAGAAUCUCCCAUAUUUGCUCGUAAAAUCCAUCUUUUCAUCGUCUAAAUCUGCAGGUAUUGGCAGAGGCAUUAGGGACAUUCGUGCUAAUGUUCUGCAUUUGCGCGAUCAUAGCAAUAAUGCAUUUAAUCGGAUUGGAAGCAGGCCUAAUGGAAUAUGCAGCCACAGCAGCACUAACAGUAACUGUUAUAGUUUUCUCCAUAGGAGCAAUUUCUGGAGCCCAUGUCAAUCCUGCUGUCACAAUUGCCUUCGCAACUGUCGGCCCAUUCCCAUGGUCCGAGGUAGUUCCAAGUCCAAAACUUGUUAAAUUUGAAGAUACGGAUCAAGAAAUUGAAUUUCAAAUUUAUUUCCCUUUAUUCUUUGAAGGUUCCACUCUAUAUAUUGGCACAAAUUGGGGGAUCUACUUUGGCAACUUAUAUUGCAAGAUUAGUAUAUGGCAUUAGAUCAGAGCUUGUGAUGACCAAACCACUCCAAGGAUGCACUGCAGCUUUCUGGGUGGAGCUUAUUGCAACUUUCAUAAUUCUUUUCCUCACUGCAUCCUUGUCGGAUCGAGAAAUUGAAUUUCAAAUUUAUUUCCCUUUUUCUUUGAAGGUUCCACUCUAUAUAUUGGCACAAAUUGGGGGAUCUACUUUGGCAACUUAUAUUGCAAGAUUAGUAUAUGGCAUUAGAUCAGAGCUUGUGAUGACCAAACCACUCCAAGGAUGCACUGCAGCUUUCUGGGUGGAGCUUAUUGCAACUUUCAUAAUUCUUUUCCUCACUGCAUCCUUGUCAAAUGACCCUCAAUCUGUAAGAUUCUGUCAAUUCUACUCGAGUCAUUUUACGUUCGACUACACUUAUCCUGUGAUAUGUUCGGUUUAGAGUUAUAUCAGACAUGUUGCACAUAUUAGGAUAUUCGAUUUACAGUGUUCCUAGUAAUAUUUCUUCUGGUAUGAUAUAGUGCCAUUUUUGCAGAUAGGACAGGUGUCUGGCUUUGUUGUCGGGGUGGCCAUUGGACUAGGAGUGCUAAUUUCUGGGUAAAGCAUAAAGAUUCUACUCGAGUCAUUUUACGUUCGACUACACUUAUCCUGUGACCGCAGAUAUGUUCGGUUUAGAGUUAUAUCAGACAUGUUGCACAUAUUAGGAUAUUCGAUUUACGGUGUUCCUAGUAAUAUUUCUUCUGGUAUGAUAUAGUGCAAUUUUUGCAGAUAGGACAGGUGUCUGGCUUUGUUGUCGGGGUGGCCAUUGGACUAGGAGUGCUAAUUUCUGGGUAAAGCAUAAAUAAUUACUUAUUACAAACUAACUAGAACUCACCAGAUUCACUUAAGUCGAUUAAAUUAUCAAAUGCAGGCCUGUUUCAGGUGGGUCGAUGAAUCCAGCGAGAUCGUUAGGACCUGCACUUGUUUCAUGGAAAUUUGAUGAUCACUUAUGGAUAUAUUUAGUAGCACCAACUAUAGGAGCCAUUGCUGGUGUUUUUGUGUACCGGAUUUUACGACUACAAGGUUGGUCUUGUGAGUCGAGUCAAGCCCGAAAAGGAAGUGAUUCUUUACAUUAGGUUGUAGCAUAGGCCAGCACGGUCGUUUCGAUUCUUUAUCUUCCUUGUACGCUUGCAUUUACGUCUAUGAGUGUUCAAAUUUCCAAAUGUGUUUACGAAUCAAAUUUUGUCUAAUCUUAUGUGAAAACAAAGCCUUAAUCGGACAGUCUCUAUUUAAAUUGCUUUAUUUUAAACUUUUUUUUUUCUCUGUUUGGUCGUUUUCUCUUUUCCUAUAUGAUAUGAGAUAUUAUUCUUCUACUUAACAAGGCCUAUCAAUGGGCCUAACGACAGUAGAGAUAAUGCUCCGUCAGCCCAAGAAAAUCCAUCAAAUAUGGGAGAAUUUACACCAAUAGCACUAGAUAAGAGUGAAUACGGUUUAGUUUGGCGGUUUAAGACAAAAUUUCAAACCAAACCAUUUAAAACAGUUUGAAAUUUUUCCAAAUCAAACCAAAACCACUUUGAUUACUAAACUAAACAAAUCCAAAUCAUUUAUCAUUUUUUUCUGUUUGGUUAUGUUUAAAACUGCGGUUUAAUAAAGAAAAAAUUAAUCUAUAUCAAAUAAGUUAAAUAAUAAAUAUUAUUCUAAAAUUUCAUGUUAAAACAUAAAUUGUAUUAUUAAAAAAUUGCAAAUCAAAGUUAUAUAACUAUAAUUAUUAUAAUGCAACAACAUGAUAUAAAUAUUUUAAACUCUUAAUCGCUACUAAUGGCGUCCAUUUACAAAUGUAAUACAUGAUUCAUUUUCUUAAUAAAUAUUAAAUAUAGUACAUGAAUUCAUUGAUUAUAGUUGAAUAAUAUAAAAUGAUUAAUAAAAGAAAAUGAACAAAAAAAAAUCAAAUACAAAACAACAACAUAACUACCAAUAAAAAUAUAAAAAUCAAACCUUUUUUUUUUUUUUUAGGUGAAUCAUUCAAAGCUUAUACUUCAUCUAAAUAUUGGCAAAUUAUUUUAAAGAAGCCCGAAAAUCAUUAGAACAACCAAGCUACUUCGUAAGCGGUUUGGUUCGGUUCAAAACCAAAAUUUUGACGGAACCACGUGCAACCAAGCCAAUGGUUUCUGGAAAACGAUUUCGGUUCGAUUUUACGGUUUAGCACCUUCGUUGUUCAGCUCUAACACUAGAUGGGCAAAAAAAUGGAUUAGAUACUCUCUUUUCUUUUCUUUUUUCUUUUUUUAUUGGGUUAAGGUAACUAUAUUUUACUCUAGUGUCAAUCUAGUAAUGAUACUUCAAUUUUUUUUUACGGUUAACUAUAAUGUAAUUUAAUUUUAAAUCAGAUAACUCCGUUCAAUUUCAUCACCGAUUCAUGAAUUAGGGUGAUGGAAAUUUUUUAUCUAUGAAAUAGUGAAGCAUUUCAUUUAUUUCACUAAAAUUGUACAUAUUUCAUAUAAGUAGCUAAUAAUUAGGCUGAUUGAAACUUUUAAUCGAUUGUCGCAUUAUCAAUUUCUGUCAAGAGAAUUGGACAAAGUAUAGUUACUUGACUAAAAUCAUAUUAAAGUAUAGUUAUUCGACUAAACAAAAAUGAACUACAGUUACUUAAAUGAGGCGAUACAUAAAAGACUCGUAAUCUAAUUAACAACUUAACUUUACUUCAAUCUUGUAACGCAAGCUGCUGAACCAUGGCGAAACAACUAGGUAUUGUGUUAACAUAGCAAUAUGAGUGAUUGUGUCUUAGGGCCUGUUAGGCGUGACUUUUGCUUUUACUUUUUGUAAAAGAGCUUUUGGAGAAAAUUAUAUUUAUUUUUGUUAGAAGACUAAUUUUUUAAAAGAGUUUCUUGUUUUGAAAGUGCUUUUUGAAAAAGUCACAUUGUACCAAUUUCUUCUAAAAACUCUUUUAAUUAGAAGAAAUACUUUUAUAAAAUUAUUCAAACAAGUUCGAAAACAAUUUUUGAAUCUUAAAGACGCUUUUUUAACUUUUCCAAAAUCAUGACUAAUGAACCCUUAGUAGAAGCAAACUAUUCAUUGACAAUUUUAAGGAGGACAAAGCAAUAGUUUAUGGUUAAAGCGGCAAAUUAGGGGACAAACGUGAGAGACAAAUGUUUUGUCCAAUUGCUUAAGACAAUUAGCCAUUCUUCAUUCUCCCUGAAGUGACAACCAAAAAACCUUAAAAUUUCAUAUGCUGAAGAGAAUACAGAUUAUGAACUGCUGGCCUUGAUUCCGCAAACAAAACAUGAAAACAAAAGUGAUGAAAAAAAUUCCCUCUUUUCUUGUUGCUUUGAAGUGAUAAAAUUGAUUGUUAGAAAGAAAAUAAAAUUAGUAAUACUCUCAAAGUACUCGUGAGGAGACGUCUUAUUAUUAUUAUUAUUUUUUUUUAUGACGGGGAACCUACAGUCGCUACUCUUCGGAUGUACGCUGGGUAAACCCUCGGACUGACGCGAUAGUCUGCAAAUCACGCUAGCCAGGUAAACAGCAUUAGGCAAACCCGAUACGACAGACUCGACCAAGAAAGUGUUGGUAGAGGAAAUCGAACUCGUGAUCAAAGACUUCCGCGCUCACCCACUCCAACAACUCGGCCACCCCAUGAGGGGCGGAGACGUCUUAUUAUCACUUCUACUUUGCCUGAAUUCAAUCAUGUGGAGGUUCUUGAGUCUAUAAGUAUGAGUAAAAAUUUUAAGGUACUUCGAAUCGUCUAAAACUGAGCAUUGUUAUUACAUAAGCAACAAAAUUUGUGGCGGGUUUUUGUCAUAAAAUUUCUUGUAAAUUUUUAUAUAUUUACUUGAGCAACAAUGAAUAAAAAAAAAUGAUUUUCCAUCACAAAAAAAAAAAAAUUAAAGAAAGUCGGUCUAGAAGCUAGUGUUUUGACCUUUUAAGAUUCUGUUACUUUUAACUUAACAACAUAUCAAUUAUUUUAAAGACUCGGGGUUAAAAGUGUUCCACUCAAAUGAGUUGUGACUUGUAAGCUAUGUCCUAUAAAUAAAUAUUGAAGUAUUUUUCUAAAAACUUUAGGUAAAAAAAAUUAAAUGUAACUGUCACAAGCAAUUGGACAAGAUAAAAGUGACUCACCAACUAAAAUUGCCCACUUAUUAUUUCUUAGUAUGGAUUGAGUCAUGUCUUACUAAUUUUGCAAAUUAGCCACGAUAAAAUUAAUGAAAAGUGAUUACAAUUUGAAGCAAUGGGCAUAUAGAUUAAUUUUUUUGCCAUUAUGGAUGUGGAUAGGUGAAUAUCCCAAUGGUCCCCCUCCAACAAGCAUGGGAUAAGCACAAAAAAUAAUCCAAUAGAGUUUCAUCAUACUUUUGUGAGUAUUUUAAAUUAAAAGCUUGAAAAUUUUUCAGGUAAAAUAAAUAGUGUGGAAGCAUGUGUUUUAUUGAUAGCUUGCUUUGUAAAGUGUAAUAUAUAUAUAGAUGUCAAGUUUCGAAACAAAUCAUGUUGUGAGUCAAUCAAAGUAAAAAUCGAGCUGUGAGAAACCUAACUAUCUUGACUAUGUUUUGUGCAAGUCAGCCCACAAGAACCUUUAAAUUACUUUUCUUAACAAUAUUUUAUGUAGAAAUCAUUUUUAUAGAUAAAUUACUUAUUUGUUAAUUUCAUGAUUCAGUUAUUACAUUUGACAAGAUUUUAAUUUCAAAUUGGAGUUUCACUAAAUUAAGGUAUUAUGAAUGCUAAGAAUCUUAUCUUAAAUGUCAAGAUUAAAGUUUCAAAAUGAUAAGAUCGUCCUAUUAAAUAAUAUUUUUCUUUGUAUACCUAAGUCAUUUUCAAUCUUGGAAGGACCCCAAGGUCAAUGGAAAUGGGAAGAGAAUGGGGCUCACAUUUGCCUUAAAAGGGAUUGCCAUUGGAAUUUGAUAGAUAGUGUCUUUAUCAUGGGUGCUAUGGUGCUAGUGCUUUUAUUUAAGCCCCUACAACUUUGGUGAAAAUGAUUUCAUACCAUAAAAAUUAGAGAAAUUUGCAACAUACGACUUCUAUUUAGAAUGUAUUUACAUUUUGCAUGACACAGCUAUUAUUUAUAACUUAUAAGUAAGAAAAAUACUUUUUUAUUUAAAAAAAUUAUACAUAUACCAAUGUAAGUAGCUUAACAAAACAAAAUACCCUUAAUUAGUAAUAACAAAUCACGACUACAUUUUAUAUUAUUAAACACUUUACAUACCAUGUGUUUAACUCUUAUUAUUAUUUUUUUUUUAAAUUUAAUUACUAGAAGCUUGAGAUAGUUUAUUAAUUUUUUUUUCUUAAAAGAUGGUCUUCAUUUAUUGUAAGGUUUACAAAAUGAUUGCUCUUCAUUUUUAAAAUUACAGAGUGAAAAAAAAAACGCUGUGAAAAAGACAAAUCUUAAAAAAAAUAAUAAAUAAAAAACGUGUUGGAAAAUAUAGCAAAAACUUAAUUUGAAUUUUUUCCAACAUUAUUAAGUGGACAUAUGCAAAUUAUUAAUUUUCACCAUUAUUAUAUAAGUUUAUUCAUCGUAAUUUAUGUUUAAUGAGUAAAAAUAACAAAAAUUAGAAAAAAAAUGCUUUAAAUCGACCAAGAUUAUUCAUAACUACUUUCUUUCGCAGCACUAGGCUUUCAGCUCGGUCAACUCUCCCUUUUGUGCCACCUAGGAUAGUCUAGAAGACUUGUAGAGAGAUUAAUAUGAAACACAUGCCCAAUUAACAAAGGUAAAGUCCUCUACCAAUAAAAUAAAAAGAGGAAAGACAUCGAACAUCGAUGCAUCCCUCUAAUAGUUUAAGCCUGCAGGUUAUAGCAAAAAUGAAAAAGGUCAAGCGUAUAUAUUUGAUGAAAUGAUCAAUGCUUAGAUUUGUUACUAAGAGUCUUUGCCUUAAUCUAUUCUCUUUUGUUAGCUAGACUUUUGUUGGAAGAAUUGGCACCUUUUCUUGAUCUUCUCUUUCCUAAAGUAUGCAGUAUGUCACGGACUUGCUAAUUUCUUUCAAGAACCGUGCGGCCUUAGUGUCUUCAACUUCCGCCCCCGCGGUUAUUACACUAAGUCAGCCUCUCGAUUGGCAUUGAUGUCUUAGAAAGACACUAGGUAGAACACUUUAGGAAAGGGACAAUGAAGGAACACAAGAACUUACAAAGAAUGCUUUGUAUUGAAUAAGGAUACUCUUUACAACUUCACUCUCUUGAUGCCUUCAAAUGAAUCUUACCAAGCUAUUUAUAGUAGUAGCCUACUCAAAUGGAUGGCUAGAAUCUUUUCUAUCCAAUGGUCUAGAUUACACAUCUAGAAUUAUCUAUACAAAUAUCUACAUUAAAAUAUCUAUGGACUAGACUAGGAUGAUCUAGAAUAAUCCACCAAGUGAGGAGCUUGUAGGCUUCUAGAAUGUCCCACCAUAUUCUAGCAAUCUUCAUGCACUUGUGGGAGUCUAGAAUAUUCCGGUUAGCCUCAAGUCUUUUGUCAAUCCAAUCCACCAACGGAUUCAACCCUGGCCAACCUGUUAACAUUUCACGAUUUAUUUUCUCGUGUGUUCCCUCAUUUCUGACAGCAGGGCUUGCUAACGGGGUUAAGGGUACAGCAGGGCUCGGGGGAAGCCUGAUCGCCCUUCCUUCUCAACUUGCUCGUGUUUUCAGCUUUCAAAGAAAAUUUGCUAUUUGCUUGAGCUCCUCCACUAGAUCCAAUGGCAUCGUAUUUUUUGGAAAUGGCCCAUAUGUUUUGCUUCCUGGUAUUGAUGUGUCUAUGUCUCUUAUUUAUACACCACUUAUCAAGAAUCCAUUUGGCAUUGGAUCCGUCCCAUUUCUGAACGAGCUCUCUUCGGAAUACUUCAUUGGAUUAAAAUUGAUCAGAAUCAACGGAAAAUCAGUGCAACUAAAUAGAACUUUGCUAUCAAUUGACAGGGAAGGUAAUGGUGGAACCAAAAUCAGCACCUUUAGACCUUACACUGUAAUGCAGACUUCGAUUUACAAUGCUUUGAUUACUGCUUUCAGAAAAGAACUAGCCAAUGUCACUAGAGUGCUUCCGGUAGCACCAUUUGGGACAUGCUUCGACUCUAAGAACAUUGGUAGCACGCUCGUGGGGCCUGCUGUUCCACCCAUUGAUCUUGUCUUUAAAGGCAACAAAGUGUACUGGAGUAUUUUUGGUGCAAACUCAAUGGUGCAGGUUAAUGAAGGUGUAAUGUGUCUCGGAUUCGUGGAUGGAGGGGAGAAUCCCAUGACAUCAAUAGUCAUUGGUGGACAUCAAAUUGAGGACAAUCUUCUGCAGUUUGAUCUAGCUAGAUCUAGGCUCGGGUUUAGCUCUUCGCUCUUGUUCAGGCAAACAACCUGUGCCAACUUCAACUUUACAUCUCUCGCUUAAGGGUUCUGUUUCAUUUUUCUCAUUCAGAAUAACAUCAAACUAUAAAAUAAAUUCUUGAACUCUUUCUGAUUUUGUUCUGUUCUCAUACAACUGCACGUUUUUUUCUUCGUGUUCCUGUUUUUGCUUUUCAUAUCGCCUAAAAGUUAGCAAAGUAGUGGAUAUUAGUAACUAAAAGUAUGUUCUUGAUUUUGCUUGGAAAUGAUAUUAACAACUGCACCCCCUCCAACCUCCACCCCAUCCCAAAACAAAAACAUUGUAAGUGUUAUAUAAUUGAGAAACAGUUGGACAGUAAAGGUCAACCUAUUUUCCUUAAACAUUAAAGAAGCAUGAGUUACUUAUAAUCCCUUUGAAAGAACACAAGGAUUGCGUUGAAACAAACAGUCCCCAACUUCUGCAACGUUAUAAACUCCUCAAUCGAAAUGUGUAUUCCUAACAUAGAAAUAAAAAUGCAAAAGUGCGAAAGGAUUCAACAUUAAACUACAAUUCAUUAGGCCUGUGGAACUCAAAAUCCAAUUCCACGAGCACGAAAAAAUGCAGCAAAGUAUGAAAGCACCAUUUCGGGAACUGUCAUCGACUCCUAACAUUUUAGGUAGUACAGCCUCAAGAAGCCAGCCCAAAAAUGACCUAGAAAAUGGAGAUUCAAUGAUAAAUGAAACUCUCUUCAACUCUCUUCAUAAAAUCGACAAAAGUCUUGUGCGUAAGGUACAUGUCUACAAAAGAAUCUCCCAUAUUUGCUCGUAAAAUCCAUCUUUUCAUCGUCUAAAUCUGCAGGUAUUGGCAGAGGCAUUAGGGACAUUCGUGCUAAUGUUCUGCAUUUGCGCGAUCAUAGCAAUAAUGCAUUUAAUCGGAUUGGAAGCAGGCCUAAUGGAAUAUGCAGCCACAGCAGCACUAACAGUAACUGUUAUAGUUUUCUCCAUAGGAGCAAUUUCUGGAGCCCAUGUCAAUCCUGCUGUCACAAUUGCCUUCGCAACUGUCGGCCCAUUCCCAUGGUCCGAGGUAGUUCCAAGUCCAAAACUUGUUAAAUUUGAAGAUUCGGAUCGAGAAAUUGAAUUUCAAAUUUAUUUCCCUUUUUCUUUGAAGGUUCCACUCUAUAUAUUGGCACAAAUUGGGGGAUCUACUUUGGCAACUUAUAUUGCAAGAUUAGUAUAUGGCAUUAGAUCAGAGCUUGUGAUGACCAAACCACUCCAAGGAUGCACUGCAGCUUUCUGGGUGGAGCUUAUUGCAACUUUCAUAAUUCUUUUCCUCACUGCAUCCUUGUCAAAUGACCCUCAAUCUGUAAGAUUCUGUCAAUUCUACUCGAGUCAUUUUACGUUCGACUACACUUAUCCUGUGAUAUGUUCGGUUUAGAGUUAUAUCAGACAUGUUGCACAUAUUAGGAUAUUCGAUUUACAGUGUUCCUAGUAAUAUUUCUUCUGGUAUGAUAUAGUGCAAUUUUUGCAGAUAGGACAGGUGUCUGGCUUUGUUGUCGGGGUGGCCAUUGGACUAGGAGUGCUAAUUUCUGGGUAAAGCAUAAAUAAUUACUUAUUACAAACUAACUAGAACUCACCAGAUUCACUUAAGUCGAUUAAAUUAUCAAAUGCAGGCCUGUUUCAGGUGGGUCGAUGAAUCCAGCGAGAUCGUUAGGACCUGCACUUGUUUCAUGGAAAUUUGAUGAUCACUUAUGGAUAUAUUUAGUAGCACCAACUAUAGGAGCCAUUGCUGGUGUUUUUGUGUACCGGAUUUUACGACUACAAGGUUGGUCUUGUGAGUCGAGUCAAGCCCGAAAAGGAAGUGAUUCUUUACAUUAGGUUGUAGCAUAGGCCAGCACGGUCGUUUCGAUUCUUUAUCUUCCUUGUACGCUUGCAUUUACGUCUAUGAGUGUUCAAAUUUCCAAAUGUGUUUACGAAUCAAAUUUUGUCUAAUCUUAUGUGAAAACAAAGCCUUAAUCGGACAGUCUCUAUUUAAAUUGCUUUAUUUUAAACUUUUUUUUUUCUCUGUUUGGUUGUUUUCUCUUUUCCUAUAUGAUAUGAGAUAUUAUUCUUCUACUUAACAAGGCCUAUCAAUGGGCCUAACGACAGUAGAGAUAAUGCUCCGUCAGCCCAAGAAAAUCCAUCAAAUAUGGGAGAAUUUACACCAAUAGCACUAGAUAAGAGUGAAUACGGUUUAGUUUGGCGGUUUAAGACAAAAUUUCAAACCAAACCAUUUAAAACAGUUUGAAAUUUUUCCAAAUCAAACCAAAACCACUUUGAUUACUAAACUAAACAAAUCCAAAUCAUUUAUCAUUUUUUUCUGUUUGGUUAUGUUUAAAACUGCGGUUUAAUAAAGAAAAAAUUAAUCUAUAUCAAAUAAGUUAAAUAAUAAAUAUUAUUCUAAAAUUUCAUGUUAAAACAUAAAUUGUAUUAUUAAAAAAUUGCAAAUCAAAGUUAUAUAACUAUAAUUAUUAUAAUGCAACAACAUGAUAUAAAUAUUUUAAACUCUUAAUCGCUACUAAUGGCGUCCAUUUGCAAAUGUAAUACAUGAUUCAUUUUCUUAAUAAAUAUUAAAUAUAGUACAUGAAUUCAUUGAUUAUAGUUAAAUAAUAUAAAAUGAUUAAUAAAAGAAAAUGAACAAAAAAAAAUCAAAUACAAAACAACAACAUAACUACCAAUAAAAAUAUAAAAAUCAAACCUUUUUUUUUUUUUUAGGUGAAUCAUUCAAAGCUUAUACUUCAUCUAAAUAUUGGCAAUUUAUUUUAAAGAAGCCCGAAAAUCAUUAGAACAACCAAGCUACUUCGUAAGCGGUUUGGUUCGGUUCAAAACCAAAAUUUUGACGGAACCACGUGCAACCAAGCCAAUGGUUUCUGGAAAACGAUUUCGGUUCGAUUUUACGGUUUAGCACCUUCGUUGUUCAGCUCUAACACUAGAUGGGCAAAAAAAUGGAUUAGAUACUCUCUUUUCUUUUCUUUUUUCUUUUUUUAUUGGGUUAAGGUAACUAUAUUUUACUCUAGUGUCAAUCUAGUAACGAUACUUCAAUUUUUUUUUACGGUUAACUAUAAUGUAAUUUAAUUUUAAAUCAGAUAACUCCGUUCAAUUUCAUCACCGAUACACGAAUUAGGGUGAUGGAAAUUUUUUAUCUAUGAAAUAAUGAAGCAUUUCACGUAUUUCACUGAAAUUGUACAUAUUUCAUAUAAGUAGCUAAUAAUUAGGCAGAUGGAAAUUUUUUAUCGAUUGUCGCAUUAUCGAUUUCUGUCAAGAGAAUUGGACAAAGUAUAGUUACUUGAUUAAAAUCAUAUUAAAGUAUGGUUAUUCGACUAAACAAAAAUGAACUACAGUUAUUUAAAAUGAGGCGAUACAUAAAAGACUAGUAAUAUAAUUAACAACUUAACUUUACUUCAAUCCUGUAACGCAAUAUGCAUCAUGCUACUGAACCAUGGCGAAACAACUAGGUAUUGUGUUAACGUAGCAAUAUGAGCGAUUGUGUCCUAGGGCAUGUUAGGCGUGACUUUUGCUUUUACUUUUUGUAGAAGAGCUUUUGGAGAAAACUAUAUAUAUUUUGUUUGAAGACUAAUUUUUCAAAAAGUUUCUUGUUUUGAAAGUGCUUUUUUAAAAAGUCGCAUUGCACCAAUUUCCUCUAAAAGCUCUUUUAAUUAAAAGAAAUACUUUUAUAAAAUUAUUCAAACAAGUUCGAAAACAAUUUUUGAAUCUUAAAAACGCUCUUUAACUUUUCCAAAAUCAUGACUAAUGAACCCUUAGUAGAAGCAAACUAUUCAUUGACAAUUUUAAGGAGGACAGAAUACUAGUUUAUGGUUAAAGCGGCAAAUUAGGGGACAAACGUGAGAGACAAAUGUUUAGUCCAAUUGCUUAAGACAAUUAGUCAUUCUUCAUUCACCCUGAAGUGACAACCAAAAAACCUUAAAAUUUCAUAUGCUGAAGAGAAUACAGAUUAUGAACUGCUGGCCUUGAUUCCGCAAACAAAACAUGAAAACAAAAGUGAUGAAAAAAAUUCCCUCUUUUCUUGUUGCUUUGAAGUGAUAAAAUUGAUUGUUAGAAAGAAAAUAAAAUUAGUAAUACUCUCAAAGUACUCGUGAGGAGACGUCUUAUUAUUAUUAUUAUUUUUUUUUAUGACGGGGAACCUACAGUCGCUACUCUUCGGAUGUACGCUGGGUAAACCCUCGGACUGACGCGAUAGUCUGCAAAUCACGCUAGCCAGGUAAACAGCAUUAGGCAAACCCGAUACGACAGACUCGACCAAGAAAGUGUUGGUAGAGGAAAUCGAACUCGUGAUCAAAGACUUCCGCGCUCACCCACUCCAACAACUCGGCCACCCCAUGAGGGGCGGAGACGUCUUAUUAUCACUUCUACUUUGCCUGAAUUCAAUCAUGUGGAGGUUCUUGAGUCUAUAAGUAUGAGUAAAAAUUUUAAGGUACUUCGAAUCGUCUAAAACUGAGCAUUGUUAUUACAUAAGCAACAAAAUUUGUGGCGGGUUUUUGUCAUAAAAUUUCUUGUAAAUUUUUAUAUAUUUACUUGAGCAACAAUGAAUAAAAAAAAAUGAUUUUCCAUCACAAAAAAAAAAAAAUUAAAGAAAGUCGGUCUAGAAGCUAGUGUUUUGACCUUUUAAGAUUCUGUUACUUUUAACUUAACAACAUAUCAAUUAUUUUAAAGACUCGGGGUUAAAAGUGUUCCACUCAAAUGAGUUGUGACUUGUAAGCUAUGUCCUAUAAAUAAAUAUUGAAGUAUUUUUCUAAAAACUUUAGGUAAAAAAAAUUAAAUGUAACUGUCACAAGCAAUUGGACAAGAUAAAAGUGACUCACCAACUAAAAUUGCCCACUUAUUAUUUCUUAGUAUGGAUUGAGUCAUAUCUUACUAAUUUUGCAAAUUAGCAAUGAUAAAAUAAAUGAAAAGUAAUUACAAUUUGAAGUAAUGGACAUAUGAAUUAAUUUUUUAGCCUUUAUGGAUGUGGAUAGGUGAAUAUCCCAAUGGUCCCCCUCCAACAAGCAUGGGAUAAGCACUAAAAAUAAUCCUAUAGAGUUUCAUCAUACUUUUGUGGGUAUUUUAAAUUAAAAGCUUGAAAAUUUUUCAGGUAAAAUAAAUAGUGUGGAAGCAUGUGUUUUAUUGAUAGCUUGCUUUGUAAAGUGUAAUAUAUAUAUAGAUGUCAAGUUUCGAAACAAAUCAUGUUGUGAGUCAAUCAAAGUAAAAAUCGAGCUGUGAGAAACCUAACUAUCUUGACUAUGUUUUGUGCAAGUGAGCCCACAAGAACCUUUGAAUUACUUUUCUUAACAAUAUUUUAUUUACAAAUCAUUUUUAUAGAUAAAUUACUUAUUUGUUAAUUUCAUGAUUCAUUUAUUACAUUUGACAAGAUUUUAAUUUCAUAUUGGAGUUUCACUAAAUUAAGGUAUUAUGAAUGCUAAGAAUCUUAUCUUACAUGUCAAGAUUAAAGUUUCAAAAUGAUAAGAUCGUCCUAUUAAAUAAUAUUUUUCUUUGUAUCCCUAAGUCAUUUUCAAUCUUGGAAGGACCCCAAGGUCAAUGGAAAUGGGAAGAGAAUGGGGCUCACAUUUGCCUUAAAAGGGAUUGCCAUUGGAAUUUGAUAGAUAGUGUCUUUAUCAUGGGUGCUAUGGUGCUAGUGCUUUUAUUUAAGCCCCUACAACUUUGGUGAAAAUGAUUUCAUACCAUAAAAAUUAGAGAAAUUUGCAAAAAAAGGCUUCUAUUUAGAAUGUAUUUACAUUUUGCAUGACACCACUGUUAUUUGUAAGAAAAAUGUUACACCUCUGACCAAACCACUUCAGAACAACAGUCACACAAUUCCUCAAAGUGACACGUGUCCAUCCAAUGUGGUUUUGAAGUGAUGUCCACUCCUGACGACCUCAACAUGAUUAGUGGUGACAAUGGGCCAAGCCGGCUUAACCUCACUAGCUUGGCUCGCGCUCGUGACAAGUCGAGCUCGUGGCUCGUUGUGCGAGCUUGGGCUCAGCUCGUUGAUUUUGGGCGAGCUCGUCAUCUUUUCCCUUUUUUUUUUAAAUAGAGAAAAACACAAAUAAUGCAAUGAAAACACUUUUUAAAAAAUAAAAUAAAAAGUGUUAAAAAAAUACAAAUAAUUUAAUGAAGACACUUUUUUCUUUUUUCUUUUUUAUUUAUAUCAUAUUGUAAUAUUUUUUAUAAAGUAUAAAAUAUUUAUAUAAUGAAGACGAAUUAUUUUUUGAAAUACAUUUACAAAAUAUAUUUUUUUUAUUUCCUUUUAAAGUAGAUAGAAUGUAAACCCUCAUCUUUUAUCCAGGCUUGGGACCGAUUACAUCAAUUUUAAGUAGACAGAGUUAAAAAUUGUAUACGAACAACUUGUUGUAACGUGUACAAUUUUUAAAAAAAAUUAAAUUUAACGAUUAAAAAAUAAGGAAAUUUUAAUUAAUAUAAUUAAAUCAAAUAUCACUUACCUAACGAUAUGCAAUUUCAGCAUAUUUAUCAUGAAGUCGAAAAUGAGCGUCCGGUCAAUUCUUCACGCACAUUAAUGCUUUCAAAACAUCUUCUUUCAAUUGGCUCCUGACAUCGGUUAAAACCCUUUUACCUGCACUAAAAGCAGACUUCGAAUCAACAGUGCUAAUCAAAGGUGUCAGCAGAUCUUUCGCAAUUGCAGAAACAAUUGGCCAACAUCUUUCAUACUUUCGCUAGAAUUUAAUUACUUCUUCUGAAUUUUUUUUAAUUUUUAUGUCUAUUGGCAUAUUAUGAUUGAAGUAAUCAAUUAAUUCGGCAGGCAUCGUAUUUUGAGUUGCAACCGAUGUUUGAUAAGAUGCAAAUGUAGACGACAUGACACUAGAUGAACACAUUGCAGUUGCAUCAUAUCUAAAUGUUUUAAUACCUUGAAAUAAAUUCAUUAUUUCGGCAUCAUCUUAUUCAAUUUCAGUCGAAAGAGUAGGUGCAGAGAAUACCCGACUAACAUUUGCACCCAUUCUUUCCGUAUAUAAAUCAUACAUUCCACAUAAUGUUUGCUCUAAAUUCUUAUAGAUGAUAGGUGUAUCAAAUAUUAAAGUUUUAUUGAUUCGAUCAAUUACGUAUUUAGUUCCUGAAAUAUUAUAUCGGGAGUCCAUUGCGCAUGUUAAAGGAAAUAACAUUGGCAGUUCUUCUCAAUAUUUUCUAAACUUUAAUUUCAUAGCAAUUAUAAUUUCACUAAAAGUAGAAUCAUUUUUAUAUUUAUGAAAUGUUCUUGCAAUUAUAUAAAGACGUUCAAGUACCAUACAGUUUGUGGGAUAAUAAACGCCGGAUAAAAUCUUUGUGGUCUCAUAAAAAUAUGUCAAAAAAUCGUUUAACUUUCAAAACUAAAACCCAAUCGAAUUCAUUCAACAUACCAUCGUCAUCACUUCUAACGUGUCUAUUGUUAUAAAAGUCAGUUAUUAAAUGUUUGAAACCUUUACAUGACUUUAAUAGCAAGUAAGUAGAGUUCCAUCUAUGGCCUACGUCGUCAACAAAUGUUUUAACAGUCGUCACCCCUAGUUUGGCACAAAAUUUUUCAAAUGCUUGUUUUCUACUAUGAGAUAUCGUAAUAUAUACUAAUGCAUUCCUAAUCAUUUGAAAUUCAUCAUUUAUAUAUUUUAAGCCAUUUUGCACAAUUAAAUUCAAAAUAUAACAUACACAACGAAUAUGAAAUAAAUACCCACCAAAAUCAUGUUGAAGUAUCCUACACAAUUUAUCGACGACUACUUUAUUAACACUAGCAUUAUCAAAAGUAAAAGACCGAAUUUUAGUCUCGCGAUUAUAUUCUCUAAUAAUACUGAUAAUAGCAUUAUAUAUAUUAUUAGCAUUGUGAGAAAAUUCAAUAAUUCUAAAAGCAAUAAUUUUUUUAUGUAUGCACCAAAAUGGAUCUAUAUAGUGUGCGGUUGCAGCUAUAUAUACUCUUUUAUUAACCUCUUCCCAUAUAUUAAAAGUUAAAGAUAUAACAUUCCCAUAUUGUUGCAAAUCCACAAUUAUUUGUUGUUUUGAAUCAUUGAAAUAAUGUAUUGUAUCGGCACGAAUAGUGUUUCGACUUACCUCAAAGUACCUUGGUUGCAGAUAUUCUUUCACGAACGAGACGAAGUGUUGGUUGUCGGCACUAGCCAGAGGCAAAUCAAUGACGACAACAAAUUUCACCAUUCCGGUUCGAGUAUUGUCCUCCGAAUACACCCACGUGGAUAGGGAUGAAAUUGUUGAACCGGCGCCUGGACUGUCAAAUUGCAGUUAUGUUUGACCAGUUGAAAGAAGUCCAUGUCUGGCCGCACAUACUUUGUAGUGGCGAUUGAGAUGGGUGGUACCAAUUCCUUUUUGUCAUACCAAUCUUUAUUAGCAAUAUUUACAUACUAUUUUAGAUUAUGUAAGGCCAUCGACGACUUUUUUCGUUGAAAUCAACUUAAAGCGAUUUCAACAUUUUGCUUAUUUUUUUACCUUUCACUUUCCCCUCGCAUAUGGGAUGUUUAAUUGGGCAUCUUCGUCCCCAUGUUCCGUUUCGAGAACGUUAAUAUCAUCCAAAUCAAUUGGAUUGUGGCUUCUCUGAUCAUGAAUGUGAAUAUCUUCUGGUAUGGGUACGGCAUCCUAGGCGAUACGGGAUGUGGGCCACAGGAGCUUAUUCGUCAAUUUCCAAAUGAGUUUAUUCGAUAUGGGAUGUGGACCACAUGGCGAAUCGUCUAGGAUGCUGCAAUGGUCAAUUUCCCUGCCACAAAGUCGAUGAGCGGGUCGGCCCUUUUGAUAUCCUUAAACAUGACACGCUGCAAGGUAAAGAGUAGAUCCACUGAAAUAACCGAAGUGUCCCUCAACUCCGAAGCGUUGGGCAUUCCGAGGUACCCCCUUAACAAAAUCUCUCCAUCGCCAUUGUCAGAAAGAUAUCUGUCAGGAUCCCCUCUGCCUCCAAGGAUCAAUUGAUGUGACGUCUCCAUAGAUCUAGUUGAUGUGACAUAUCGACUUUAUGUCAACUCAACUCAGCAGAACUAAUUGCCCGCCCCACUUUAGAUGCGGCUGAUUGAUGCCUAUGAGCGGAUGCCUACACUGUUAGAUGUAUACACGUGUCCCACAUCCAACGGUGCUCUACGUCUAUAAAUAUCCAAGGCUUGGCAAUAGACAAAGGUAAUAAAACUCACACAACUUAGCUCUCCAUACUAAGAAACAUAUAUUCUCCUUCUCACUCUCUUACACAACUUGAGCACUGUUCCGAUCACCCAACGCUGACUUGACCGUUGGAGUGUAUGCGGCUGCCACCACCACCACUAUCGCUGGUUCCGGCCGUGUGCUUCUGACCGUGCGUUGUUGUGCACAGAAAGGAUUACGUGGAGAAGCUAUCCAUUGGCCAUGUGGAGGAUCCAAUUCUCGAUACCGAUGCAAGUAGCUUAACAAACAAAAUACCCUUAAUUAGAAAUAACAAAUCACAACUACAUUUUAUAUUCUUUAACACUUUACAUGCCAUGUGUUUAACUCCUAUUAUUAUUAUUAUUUUUUAAAUUAAUUACUACAAGCUUCAGAUAGUUUAUUAAUUUUUUUUCCUUAAAAGAUGGUCUUCAUUUGUUGUGAGGUUUACAAAAUGUUUGCUCUCUUAUUUUUUAAAUUACAGAGCGAAAACGAAAAUCUAUGAAAAAGACAAACCUUGAAAAAAUAAUAAAUUAAAAACGUGUUGGAAAAUAUAGCAAAAACUUAAUUUGAAUUUUUUCCAACAUUAUUAAGUGGACAUAUGUAAAUUAUUAAUUUUUACCAUUCUUAUAUAAGUUUAUUCAUGGUAAUUUAUAUUUAAUGAGUAAAAAUAACAAAAAAUUAAAAUAAAAUGCUUUAAAUCAACCAAGAUGAUUCAUAGCUACUUCCUUUCGCGGCACUAGGCUUUCAACUCGGUCAAUACUCCCUUUUGUUCCACCUAGGAUAGUCUAGAAGACUUGUAGAGAGAUUGAUAUGAAACACAUGCCCAAUUAACAAAUGUAAAGCCCCCUACAAAUAAAGAGGCUGGUGGGGAGUGAUUUUGAGAAUUGAUUUUUUAAUCGUUAGAAGAAAAGUGAGAUCCACCCGUGAGAGAAGAAGUCAAAUAUAACGGCUGAAAUAGUGAAAUAACGGUCAAAAAAAUCAAUUUUUUGGGUGAAAAAAUCGGGCCCAAACAGGCCCAAAAUAAAAAAGGGAAAGACAUUAGACAUCGAUGCAUGCCUCUAAUAGUUUAAACAUAUUCCACCCAAGAAAAUGCAAUAUGAUAUUCAUGAAAGAAGAGUUUCGAUUGAAAAAGGUUGAGCAUAUAUAUUUGAUAAAAUGAUCAAUGCUUUCAUUUUUGCUAUACGCUGCAGGCUAGAUUUUUUACUUAAAAGUCUUUGCCUUAAUCUAUUCUCUUUCGCUAGCUAGAUUUUUGCAGGAAGAAUUGAUCACUUUUUCUUGAUAUUCUCUUCCUAAAGUAUGCAAUAGCUAAUUUGAAAUGCGUCAUUUUUUCGUGGAGCUACCAUACCUAAAAUAAGUCAAAAAAACCUAUUUUGAGCACGUUCAUGUUCCUCUCUUACAUUUUUGUUCAAGCUAGCAACAUGAACUGUGGAUUAAUCAGGGAUAAAGAGAAAGGGUUCAACCAAUAAUUGGCCUCUGCAAUCAUCUCUCUCUUCAUCUAAUCGCUCAUGAAGGUGGGGAAAAAUCAAUCUAUGGAGUUUUGAAGCUUAAAAUAAUUUGUUUAUUUAUUUUAAUUUGAUGUUAUAUCAUCGUACCAUUUUGCAGUUUAACAAUUUUUCAAGAAUUCAUACACGUUUCUUCACAAGAAAAAUUUAAGAAUAGAAGACAAGUAUAUACCGUUAAUAAAAAUAUAAAGAAGACAAAUAUAAUACCGUCAAUAAAAUAUAGAAAUUUUUGUAAAAAUGAAAAUUAAAAAAUGGAAAAUCAAUAGUGUAAUCGAGAUACUUGAAUUAAAAAAAAAAUUAAAUUAAGAAAAAGAUAACUCUAAGCGAUAGGAAAAGAUAGUUCUGGAUUAUAAAGUAAUAUAAAUUAAAAUUAUAAAAAAUUUCUAAAAUAUGUAUAUAUAAUGGAAAAUUUGUAAAAUUUUAUAUUUUUUUCCUACAAAAUGUGUUUGUUGUUACCAAAACGUAUAGUAGACAUGCAAAAGGUAAAUUUACAAAAUAGAGUAUGUAAAUUGUAAAUAUAUUUAUACCUUCAAUGCAGGUUGUAUUUUGUACCAUAAAAUUUAAGAGAACCUUUUUCUUUGGUGACCCCUUAAAAAUGUAUAUUGACCUAUUUGGUACAGAAUAAUUUGAAAUGAACUUCUAAAAUCAAUAUCUUAACAAGAAUAAUUCUACUUCAUAUCUCUCGAAUUUAUUUGUAAAAUAUAUGUUAAAAUGGUUUUUAGUUGAGUUAAAAUUCAUACAAAAUUGGUAUUGUUUUUACUAACAAAAAAGAAAAUUGUGAUAUAAAGCAAAAUAAAAUUGUAAACCUUUCUUUAAUUUAUACCAAAGCUUCACGAAAGAUGUCUAUAAAUUAAUUAUCGAAAAUUUUAGGAAUAAAGCUUCUCUAUUGAUAUCGAGCAAUUACUAAGCAUAUUGAAUAUUCCCGUACAUAGCUAAAUUGAAUAACAUAAAAAAUUAAAAUUCAUAUAUACCAACUUGAAAAAGAGAUGAUGACAAAAUAUAAAUAAAUAACAGAGAAAGGCAAAAUUUUGACUGGCACCAAAACCUGGGGCCAUUGGCAAACUAAUAUAUGGUGGGUGUUAACAUCACCAACUUGAAAAGUAUAAAUAUUUUUUUUUUUGUCCUUUUUCAAUAAUUUAAUAUAAUAUAAUUCAUUUCCUUAUUAGCCACACUCAUUAUACUUUAGUAAGAAUUGGAUACCUAUCACUUUGAAGAAAGCAACAUUUUUUUUUUGGUAAAUAAAUAUUUAUUUAUAUUAGAAGUAAAUGAACCUAAUGAAUAAUGGGGAAAAAAAAUGAUGUAAUCAAUUUUUAAUUUAUCGGGAACAAAAUUUAGUCAUCGCUAUAUAUCAUGACAAUUGAACCAGUAUAAAUAAUAUUGUCAUUGAUAAUUUUAUGUUUUGUUAAAAAGGAUAAAUGAAUCAUAGAUGAAAUUGAGAAUUAUCUAUUGUCAACAAUUAUUUAAUGAUUUUAUAUGCGUAAGGGUCAACAUGACCUAUUUAUUGAUAAUUGUAUUGAAUCGAAAAUAGUAGAUUUUUCUAGACACGCAAGCAAACAAUUCCAAUGAUAUAAUAGAAUCAAAAAUAUUAAAUCUAAAUAAUACUAGUUAAGUUUUAACUGGAAAUAUAUCGAACGAUUGAUAUAGCCAUAGUCCAAUUUUUUAAGAAAAUUUCGAGAAAAAUAUCCGUUGUUAUUUAUGUUGAAAAAUAGUCGAACUUAGCCCCUGUUUGUCAUUCAUUAUUUUGAAAAUUAAAGAGUUUUGAAUGGUAAUUUUUGGAGAAUUUAUAGUUAAAAAGUAAAGAAACUUUAUUGGUUUGUAUGUAGAAUAUUUUAUUGUGCAAACGUGUGGAGAAGAAUAAUAUGAAUCAAGCUACUUGUACAUUGUGCUUUACAUCAUCUUUGAUAUUGUGUCACGUGUUGUCACAUGAUUGAAUAGUUUUUGAAUUCAACACACUUUCCCGAUAAUUUGAAUUUGCAUACAAUGUCAAUGUCAAACACUAUGUACAAAAUGUAAUGUACAAUGAGAUUUAUUCGAAUAAUAUUGAAGUAAAUAAUUUAAAAUUUUAAAUAUGGAAUCAUGUAACAGAGUCAUAUUCAAAUUGUUUGAAAUAAAAUAAUUUAAAAAUAUCAGAAGCAUCGGAUGAACGAGGUAGAGAAUAAAUUCAUGUUGGACCAGAUGGCACUAAAUCACGUGAAUUUAUUCUUAAUUAUCCAAAUUUAUGGAGAAUAAAUCAAGUGUUAAUUAAUUGUAAAUUUAUAGUACACGAACUUGGAUUUUAAUAGUUGUUAUUAGCACACAGAAAUCUUGGGUUCGGUCCAUCCAUAGUUUUGUAUGUUGGAAAGGCGGCUAUGAUUUUUCACGGACAAAACUUGUUCAAUUUGUCGAUUAUUUGUUUGCAAUAAAGCUAUCGAAUUUUAAAAAGUUAAAAAUUACUAUUGCGAUUAAGAGCUUGUUUGGUGGAGAUUUGGUUAACUGAUUUUUUGACCGUUAAAAUAAAAUGGGUCCUACUUAUGAGAGAAGAAUUCAAAAAUGAAGGUUGAAAUAAUAAAAUAACGGUAAAAAAAUUAAUUUUAAUUGAUUUAAAAUCUGUAACAAAUAAGCAUUGAGAUAUUGCUUUUGAGUGUUGAUAAUUUUUUUAAAAGUAUUUUAUCGAAUCAGAAGAGUUUUUGAAUGAACAUCACCCAGAGUGACUAAGUGACUUCUUUAAAAUGCUUUUUCUAAUAUAUUUUCUAAAAUGAAGACCCAAAAUAAAAAAUGGAAUUAUGUCUAGAUUAGCCUCGAGUUGAGCGCAUGGAGCCCUAAUAGAAACAAAGGCGAUGUACCAAAAGUUGUUGUGGUAGAAUGUCGAAGCGAUAUGCUCUCGUCUUGGAUAACAUCUUCCAUGACGUUGCUUUGUCCCAAAGAUCUUUCGUACAAGAUCGUUUAUACAUCUAAUUGAUUUGACAGUUCUACAGUAGACAUUUUUGGAUCAACUUUUCAUGUGGUAGCCCUAAAAACGUAAGGUAGCCAUGUUUCAGUUUAUUUAAGGUUGCAUCUAGUCGAGAAUAGUUGGAUUCGACGCCUAUAAAGUUAACCUAUGAGCCAUUAAGAUGAAGCCGUACAUUGCACAUCCAAUAAUGUCCACUUCUUCCCUUCCAUCAUAAAAACUCAACAUUUGGUGCCAUCAAUUCUACACCACCUCGGAACCUUAUAUACUCCAUGCUAAUAUCACCUUCUCCCGCACCCAUCAUUGAUCUCUCUGUCAUCUGACAAACAUGAAACAUCCACGCCAACAACUUGGCACAAUCUUUUUCAUCUUCAUUUUAAAGACGCCACACUGGAUAACUCCCUCAUCCGUCCCAGCAUUCGCCUAAUUACCUCAAGUGCGUGACACGUCAUCGACAGCCUCGGAAAAUCCAAAUAUAUCCUCCGAGUGGGACCCACCUAUUCCACCCAUAACGUUAUCCUAACACGGGAAUGAUCGCCCAUCUCUGGAGCCCAAGUCGACAUGAUUUGCCCACACUUUGAAAACGAAGGCCCGAACUUAUUAUUCAAUUAGCAAGUUAGUCCUCAGUCUCCUUGCUCCUCAACUAUAAAUAAAGAUAGUGUACUUUUUGGUUUGUACAACUCAAGUUGGACCUUAUUAUAUGUAUAUCAAGUUUUACAUAAUGAAUUAUAUAAUGUCACAUAUCAUUAAAUCAUUUAUCAGUUUAAAAUUUAAUCCCUUGUAUACCAUUUUAUAUAAAAGCAGAACAAUCCAAUAUGUUGUGCUCUACAUAAUCUCUCAUGUUAAAAUUUUUAUUUAGUUCUCGUUUGGCCCCCAUUCUCAUUCUUAUUCUUUUUUUUCUUUUAUUUUCAAUUGCACAAUCUUUCAUAAAAUAAUAUUAUACAGGAAUAAAAAAAUCAAUUUUUUCAACCACACAUUUUUCAAAAAAACACUAUUCGAAUUGGAAAGAAUAGGGGUCAAACGAAGGCUUAAUCUUUUCCCUUCACAUUAUUUUAUUUAAUCCCUUAUAUACUAUUUUAUAUACAAGUAGCACAAUUCAAUAUGUUUUAUCCUACAUUUCUCAAUAUCGUAUCAAGUUGAGAAACAAAGAAAAAUUUAUAAAGUGUCUAUAUAAAGACCACAUAUUAAUUUAAUCGAUUUUUAAUAGUUUUACGGCCUAUUUGGCAUGAUUAAGAAAUCAAAAGUUACAUCCGAAAUAAAAAAAAAAAAAAGAAGAAGAAGAAGUUAUUUUUGAAUAUAUUUAGAUAAUUUUCUUGAAGUAUUUUAUUUGAUUAGAAUAAUUUUUCGAAGAAAUUAAUUACCAUAACAUUUUUAGAAAGCUCUUUUACAGAAGGCAAAAGCUUGUCGAAAAGGACAUAAGAAUUAUUGGUGCAACUAUGACAAAAAAUUGUUCUUUCUUAUAAAGGUCAGUGCCGAGUUUGCUAUUCGAGCAAUAGUUUAGGAUCAAAUAGUAAACAUUUUACCAAGACAAUAGCUUAAAUUUGAUAUUCAAUGACCAAUUUGCCCUCAUGUUCUUUCUAUAAAUCCCAAACCCCCUUCUCCUCAUUCCUUCCAUUCCAUUAGCCACUCUCUUCAUUUCCAAUAGUAUAUCCGCGUUUUGUGUGUGUGUUUUUUAUAUUUUGGAGAGAAGAUGUUGGGAGUGUUUAGCAGCUCGAUAGUUUCGCCGCCGGAAGAGCUGGUGGCGGCCGGAAGUAGGACGCCGUCGCCGAAGGUGACAGCGGCUAAGCUGAUGUCCAGGUUCCUGGAGACGAACUCAUCGGCGGUGUCCAUGCAGAUUGGCGAUGAUGUCCAGAUGGCUUACACUCACUGCAACCAGUCGCCUUUACAGCCCAGGUAUACUAUACACGCUUUAAAAAUUUGAUUUUAAAAUACUAAAAAUAAUUGGGGAUGAUACUGAACAUUAAGUUUGGUGAUACUGAACAUUAAGUUUGGAUUUAUGGUGAUCAAAUAUUGGGAUGAUCUGAUGAGUUCAUGCUUGCUGAUGGUGCUUUAUCUCAGUGAAGAAAGGAAUUUUUAAUUUUACGAUCUUGAAUUGUUUCAUUUUUAUUAGUAGUUUCAAAUUUAAGAUUAAUUAAGGAAUUUGAAAAGUAUAAGGAUGAAAUUAACUUUUAGUACUAAUUAUAAACAGUCGAAUCACGAAAUUUAUCCAAAUUGUGAGUCGGUGAGACGAAAGAAAAGAAAAGAAAAGAAAAGGCAUUUUCGUAAUUUUCUCUGUUUUUGGAUUUUAUUCCAUGAUUCUGUAACUUUAUAUAGAUAUUGGUAUCUGUAUCAAAUAUGUAUGUAAUUUUCUCUGUUUUUGGAUUUUAUUCCAUGAUUCUGUCACUUUGUAUAGAUAUUGGUAUCUGUAUCAAAUAUGUAUGUAUGUAUGCGUGCAUAUAUUUUAUGUAAUUUCUGGAUUUUUACUUUACUCUGCAUACUUCUCUAUAGAUCCACGUGUGACAGAGUCCAUUUAUAGCCCAUUUGGCAAAUUUAUAAAUGGUUUAUAAGGUGGAAUAGUGGCCCUAAAAGAGAGUGAGGAUAACAAUUAAUAGUGAUGAAUAAAUUAAUGUUUGACUUUUGAUUGAAUUAUAAACCAUAUAUUUGUAUCCAAACGAUUAAUUCAUAUGGGAAAUAUUUCUGUACUACACGAAGAGGCAAGAACCUAUAUAUUUUUCCGAGCUUUAGAUAAUAUGAUUUUUCUUCGUUUCGGAGUUUAAUCAAAGUUAAUAAUUGAAGAAGAUCGAAACCUGGCAAUUCUUGAUCUUGCAUUAGGAGCAAGGAUUAUUACUUGAAACCAAAUUUUUUGUAAAUUGCAAGUGAAGAGUCUGAAGACUGAUAUUGACCUGUAUUGCCUAGCUUGAUUAAUUGAUAAAAGUCAUGAAAUAUAUUAUUAAAAUUAAUUGUUAAUUUUGAUGUAGAUUUUUAUCAACUUUUUAGUUAAAUUAAAUGGGUUAAAUCCAUCAAUGAUCACCCAACUUUGUACUUAAUGUCACCAUAGGCACCUAAUUUUAUUUUGUUUUAUCAUUGCUACCAAACUUUAUACUUAACAUCCAUGGUCAUCGAAGUUGAUAUUAUUUCAUCAUAGCUGCCCAAUUUCAUACAACGUUACACUGUGGCCACCCAACUUUUGCAUUAUAUAUAUAAUACGAAGUUAUCAUUUUACCUCCUUUAAAUUAGUGAAAAGGGUGAAAAGAAGUUGGGAGGUCAUGGUAAAACGUUAUAUGGUGAAACAUUAUAUGAAAUUGUGUGGCAAUGGUGAAACGUUAUAUGAAGUUGGGUAGCCAUGAGGACACUAAGAGCCUGUUUGGAAGUGAUUUUUUUCCCCCCAAAAAAUUGAUUUUUUUACCGUUAUUUCAUUAUUCCAGCCGUCAUAUUUGACUUCUUCUCUCGUAGGUGGACCUCAUUUUUUUCUAACGGUCAAAAAAUCAAUUCUCAAAAUCACUCCCAAACAGAUUCUUAAGUAUAAAGUUGGGUGAAAUUUGGUGGAUUUAACCCUGAACUAGAUAGGAGCUUAGCCUAUGUUUGAAAGCUUCGUUCUUACCCUUCCAGGAAUAUUUAAAUAUACAAUUGUCUUGUAAGGUGGGAUGAUUAUUGACUUUCAUCUCUAAAUUUGAUGGGCCAACAUAUGUUCUUGAACAUAUUUUAAAUGGAGCUUCAGCUUUUAAUUAUUCGUGUGGUGAGAAUUGACAUUAAUUUGAAUGUAAAUUGUAUGACAAAUGGCAGAUCAUUUGCAGUCAAGGACGACAUGUUCUGCUUGUUUGAAGGAGCGCUCCACAACUUGGGGAGUCUGAAACAACAAUACGGCCUUGCAAAGUCUGCCAACGAGGUACUUUUGGUGAUUGAAGCCUACAAGGCACUUCGUGACAGGGCACCUUACCCUGCAAACCGAGUGGUUGGCCACCUCGAGGGGAGUUUCGCGUUCAUGGUAUUCGACAAGUCGACUUCCACUUUAUUUGUGGCUACCGUGAGUAUUCCCACCUACCGAAAGCCAAAUUUUAAUCUUUAUUUAGUGGUCUUUACUGACAGUUAAGUUGGUGGUGGCGUGACAGGACCAAUUCGGCAAAGUUCCUCUCUAUUGGGGGAUCACUGCUGAUGGAUAUGUCGCAUUUGCUGAUGAUGCUGAUUUGCUAAAGGGUGCUUGUGGCAAGUCACUUGCUUCCUUCCCACAAGGUAAUUUCCUAAAAUAAUAAUUUUUCGAUGAACAAUAUCAAAAUAGAAUAACGAGAAUAGUUGAUUGUGCCAACAAUGAUAAAUUUGGGAUUUUUCUCAAUAACUAAUUCUCUGUGUUAACAUAAUUGUGUUGGUUGAUUUUUCAGGUUGCUUCUUUUCCACUUCAGACGGAGAACUUAGAAGCUAUGAGAAUCCCAAAAAUAAGAUCACCGCUGUUCCUGCUACCGAGGAAGAGAUAUGGGGAGCGAAGUUCAUGGUAAGAUGCUUUAUUUUAUUUUUUUUCUGUGGAAUUAUUGUUUCGAAUCCUUCAAGGCUACUUAUGGAAUCUAUGUGAACAUAGACAUUAUUGAACAUCAUGAGGUGGAUAAAACAACAUUGUAUUAUUAUGAUCACGACGUUGGACGUAGACAAAACCACAUAAUUUUUUCCUUGUUUGGCCGAUACUUUGUUGUCUGACAACUUGUGUGGAUGAUAUUCAGGUGGAAGGGCAAGGCGUUUUGGCAGCCACAAAAUAGAAGAAGGAAUUAUCUUUAUUGAAAAUGAUAGAGCUCAAAUUGGUGGGAAACGAAGGGAAAAAUGAGUGGCAUGUAAAUGAAUGGAGGAGAUGUGCUUUGUGUCUUGUCAAGUAUUAGAAAUGAAAGAGGGAAGUUUGUAUUGAGAUAUUCCUUAUCUGCUUUCUUGUAACAGUGUUUAAUCGUUGUAUAGCCUCCUUUUAGUAGUGUAAUAAUGUUUGAAUCGAAGUUUGAAACUGAUCUUGUAACAGUGUUUAAUCGUUGUAUAACCUCUUCUUUUAGCAGUGUAAUAAUGUUUGAAUCGAAGUUUGAAACUGAUCUUGAACUGCGUUUUUAUUCAUAUCGACUUAUUGAGUGUGGCGAGAGAGGGAAAUGGGUCGGAAAGAAAAAAAGUCUCGAGGUCAGGCAUUGCGAGUCGCUCUCAAUUGACGAGGAGUCACUUGUGGCUCACGUUCGAGUAGUGGUUUAUUACCUUCUCAA